UGCUGCCCACUGCCAUAACUUUGCACCCCAACAAAGCCGAUGAGGCCAUCAAUGAACUCUCAGAAAUAUCUGAUCUCUCUAUAAUCAAAAUCAGAUGCAAUUCCACAAGGGCCCUUUCAGAAACAAAAUUAAAAGGCCAGGCCACCACUUAUAGAAAUCCUGGGAUAAUCAACUUCAAAUACAUUUGGAUUUGCGUUUACAUGGCCAUCAUAAUUCAGGUUGUCCAGAAUUUCUCCUGCUAUUUUCACAACGAGGGUGUUUAUUGACACAGUUGAGUUGGGCAUUACAAGCUCCCAUCUGUACCAUCAUGCAUUUGGGUUGCUUCGGUUUUGUAAUUGACAAAGCAAAGUAUUUGUAUUCCGAGAAAGGAAUUGAAGACGAAACUUAGUUCUUACCAGCCACUCUCUAUACCCUUGAGUGCCAUUCUGGUUUAAUAUUUUCACAGCUAUUAUAGUCCCUGCACUUCCAUAUGGUUGCUUCCCAGGAAGCAUUGUAGUCUCUGCACUUCCAUACGGUUGCUUCCCAGGAAGCAUACCUUUAUAGACACAACCAAAUCCUCCCUUUCCAAGCAGUGCAUCGGCUGGAAAAUUUUUGGUCGCCGCUUUCAACUCUGCGAAACUGAAGAUGGUCAAGCUGGCAUCUGCCACAGUCUUUCCAUUUCUGAAGGCCUUUUUGCCGUGGGCAGCCAGCAAGGCAUGGCUAUUGCUGGCUGCAGAAGAUGAUAUAGGGAGAGGCCGCAAGUCACGGCUAUUGCUUGCUGCAGAAGAUGAUGAAGUGGUGAUAUUCCACUUCGCUCCUGUAGUUUCAAAAAAGAAAAACAACGAACUGAGAAAAAUUGCUUCGGACGAUAACAAGAAGAACAUUAAAGACUCCAAACUGAAGUCACAAAGAUCCAUUUUAUAGAGACUACAUAGAUGUAAAGAUAAAGAUCACUCUAGGAAAAAAUUUAAAGAGUACCUGACUUGGGAUUACCAGCGAAGGUAGGAGUAGGGAAGUCAGGAGUACCGAAACACACCCCCAUCUCUCUCGUCUCUCUCAAUAAUAACUACUGUCUUUCUGUUACCUUGCCUCUACCAAAAUCUUAUUCCCUCUGGAGAAGAGGACGUUGACUUGAUGUCACGUUCAGUCAAGUGAAACCAACUGAAAACGCGCUUGAUUUUCUUAUGCCCAAAGCAGACGCCACAUAUUUCCAAUGCAUGUCAUAUAUUGACCCCGGUGGACUUUCAAAGGACGAGAAGGAAAGCAGAACGAGGGCUAAUUCUAUAAAAAAAAAAAAUACAAACUUUAAGUAUUAUCCUAAAUCUCAUCCAAAUUAUAUUUUACCUUAAAAAAAAGCCCAAACUUUUAGUAGCUUCCAAAUCUGGCCUCCCUUCACCAUCCUUCCACAGUGACCGUUAGUGGCUUUCUCUUCUUACUUCUGCUCAUCAAGUCUCUCUCUCUUUGACAUCCUCCGGCUAGAGUCACCGCCAAACUUGACAUCCGCGCGUCCACCGCCGAUGCCUGUCCAAGCCAACACUGCACAUCCAAACCAAACCACCCCUCCGUCGUCCUUGUUGUUAGCUUCAUCUUCGCUGGCAUCUCCAUUGUCUUUGCGGUCAUCUUUACCCGUUUUCGGCUGAGCAAAUGGCCAAAAAUCUGGAAAAAAUAGAAGUCUCCAGAAAAAAAAAAAAAAAAAAAAAAAAAAAAAAAUCUGGGAAAAAAUCUUUGAGACAAAGAAGGGGCAAUGGGUAUCUUGGCUUGUUUUUUUAGCCAAAAAAUCUGAUAUUUAGAGGAGUUUACAGAGCAACGUGGGUCAAAAAAUCAGUGGAUCUCUUGGCUUGUCCUUCUGGCCAAACAUAGAAGACAUGGCCGCAAACAACUCGACCUAUGCGGAAUCCGUAAAAGCUGGGUUAUGGGAAAUCUGUGGAAUCUUGGGGAAAAAAAGAAGGAAACCCAGAAACUUGAAUGCUAAAGGUUUCCUUUUAUUCAUUGCAGCUCAUCGCCGGAAUAGGAAAAAAAGAAGAAGAAGAAGAGAAACCCAUACUUGAAUGCUAAAGUUGAUUCAGAAAUUCACAAUCUGCUCGCGAUUCCCUCUAUUCGUCUCCGCCUUCAUCUUCUCGAAGGCCAACUCCAGAUCUAAAACAAAGCCCCAUCCAUGGCCGCGACAAGCGAGGUCGAAGUAGGAGGAAGAGACAGAAAAAAAAAAAAAAGACUUGGGUGGGUCGAUAACCCACCGUCGUCCUCGUCGUCCACGCCGCCGCGCCCAUCUCCUUCACCGUUCGCUUCCUCCUGGCUCUGCAUGCCGUCUUCCUCCUCUUCUUCCUCGUCGACGGCGGCGGGGACGCCGUCCUCCUUCACAACCCUAACUUUCUCGUCCUCUUCGAACUCGAUCUCCUCUUCCUCGUCGGAAUUCAUUGUCGCAAUCACGACCUCACGCUUGCCGGGACAAGAAUCCGGUGAUUUCUCGGCUCGAUUCUGAACCAAAACGAACGGAAAUCUUCGAGAAAAUGAAAAAUAAUGGGAAAAAAUUUUCUGGGUGACGUGAAAAUGCCUCAUAUGACUAACGACGACCGUAGAAGGAGAGUUAACGGGCGAGAUUUGAAAUACGAGUUAAAGUUUAUGCUGUUUUUGGAGAUAAAAUAAAGUUUGGCCAAAAUAGCCCGAAAAACCUCAAUCAGUACACGUAUGAUAAAUUUAUCUUAAAUUGUUUUUUCGACCACCAAAAACCUCAACUGAUAUAUCUUUGACAAAUUUAUCCCAAAUCAAUAUACUUGUGACAAAUUUACUCUCUAUAAUUUUCGUUAAUUUAUUAUCAAUUAUAGUAAAUGACACAUACAGUACUAUAUAUAUUUCAGAUUUUACGCUCCGUUUGUCAGUUUACAACAUUUGAUUGUAUUUUUUGUGGUAUAUCUAUCUAAUUUAGCAUAAGGUAUAUUUGUCACAAAUGUAUCAGUUUGAAGUUUUUUGUGGUCGAAUAAAUUAGUUUAAGAUAAAUUUAUCAUAAAUGUACUAAUUUAUGAUUUUUUAUAGUCAUGUGGAGUAAAUUUGUCAAAAAUACUAGUUUUGGGUUUUUAUGAUCAAAAAAAUAAUUUGAGAUAAAUUUCUCAUAAAUAUACUAGUUUGAAGUUUUUUAGGGUAUUUAACCCUUUAAGAAAACACCUAAAGUUGGUUUUUUUUUUUUAUGGAAUUUGGCUACAGAAAGAGGGCACACCCGGUUUUAAACAGGGCACGCUCGGUUUUAAAACAAACCAACUUCCAUUCAGUAGAAUGCAGAAAUCCAUGAAAUCGAUCGAGAAGAAGCUUCCUCUUCUUUUCAGCAAGUCGUCUGCCUAGCUAACGUCGGAAUAAAAGGUCGAUCCUUUUUUAUCAGAGUCAAUCAAUUUGGAAAGAUGAUGUCCAAUUCCAUUUGGUGGAGAUGUCAAUGUCUAUAGAAGGGUUUGUGUUCAUUUUGUUCAAGAAAUUUAUAUAAAUAAAAAAAAAAAGUUUCAAGAACGGUUUCGAAGCCAUAGAAGGGAAAAAUCUUCCGAGCCAAAUCAAAUAUGAAAGUAAUCGAGUGAUGAAUUUAACAUUUGAGUCGAUCUCAUCAGUCCACUUUUCAACCAUAAUAAAAGAUUCUAAUGAUAAGGAUUAGGAAUCAAAUUGAUCCUUCAUGGUGGAAACAAACCAAUUCAAUUAGUGAGUCUAUUUUGAAGUCUAUUAGCUCUUGAGGAAGUUCUGUACUAGAAAAGAACAAAUUAUUAGUGUUACUUAACAUUUCAUCCUCACUGGUACAAGUUUCAACUGCACAUAUGAUAUUCUCCAAUAAUUCAUAUUCAAGAGAGAAGAUGGAUUCGAGAUCAUCAUCGUUAAGAUAAAUUUCAAUUUUUUUCUCAAGUUUCUUAAUCAUCUCAACAUACUUAUUUUUCUUAAGCCAUCUCAAGACAAAUAACCAAUCUCUCCACAAGAGUUAAAUUCUCAGUAAAUUCAGCCCCUCCAAAAAUUUGAAUCCACAGUCACUUUUCCUACGUGAGCGAAACGAAAGAAGGAGAGAAACCAAUUCAAAAGCAAUCGUCCAAACCACUAACGGCCCCCUCUGUUUCCAAGUGAAAUUUUGUCUUCCCUACUUAGGAUGGAAUACUCCCGAAAUUUUAGUCUCAGAAUUCAAAUAAAGCAGUUUAAGGAUGUACUUGGGUCCACCUGUCCCAUCUCCAUCUCUCUCUUUUUUCCUUACAUAUCUUUCAUGUAAAUAGUGAUUGAUUGCAGCGCACCAUUUGAAACCCAGCUUAAAACGUAAGCUUCUUUGCUUAAUCUCCGCUAAAAAGGUUCACCAAAUUGGUCCCCCCAUCUCUGCUUUUUCUGACCGGGUCACCUUGAUGUUCUCUCUCUCUCUCUCUCUCUCUCUUUUUGCUCCUUCCCUUGCGUUGGGGAGAUUCCAUUGAGAAACGGCACAGUGCCAUGCUUCUCUAGCAUUCCACUUGUAAUGAUGGAAAGCUUCAACCCAUACUUAAGCUUUUUUUUUUUUGGUAAAGAACCCAUACUUAAGUUCAUUCCCACCUAAGACCAGCUCAAGCACCCCAGUCCAAGACAGUGCAACAGGGACCAAGAGAGGGAAAAUGUCGGCUCAUAUUAUCAUCACUGUAUUCGCAAUAUGGAUUCGACCCACAGGGGAUUUGGUAAGACAGGGAGAUCUCAAACCUGGAGAUCACAUCUAUACUUAUCGGCUGUAUGGCCUAUACCCCCACCAUGGUUAGUGGUUCAUCCUCUUCUUCCUUUUCCUAUUAAUCAUUAUCAUUUUUCUUGAACAUAGAUAUCUUCAUAUGUGGCUCGACUGAAUUUUCCUUUAUUAUCUUAUGUUUUUGGCCCAAGAACAGUAUUUGCAUAGCUUCAGAGAUAAAAGACUCUCCUCCACCGGUCCUCCGCCGCCGCCGCACGUUCCGGCCGCUCCCCUCCGGCGGCCCCAUUGUCGACCCCUCUUCUCAGCUUUUCAGGAGUCGACGAAAUGCCAGAGAGAGAACCUGACUGAGCUGUGCUUCAUUUCCUUCUUUCCGGUCGCCGAUUUAUAUCAAGCUUCGCCAUUAUACUUCUCAGCAGUUCCAGCGUUGACCGUCUUCAUCUCCAGCGAAUCUCCAUCGUAGACUCUCCCCUUCGCUACUUCGUUUGUGUUGACGAGGUGUUCGACAAAAUGCCAGAAAGUUGGUAAGAUUGAAGUUCUCCUCCAGUCCGCAGCGCCACCAUUCCUUCUGGUAGCUGUUAUGGUCCAGGUUUUCAAGGGCGUCAACCCCGUAUCUUCCCCACCCAACCCCCCCCCCCCCCCGCGGCUGCCAACAACAACGAUCCACGCAGGACAUAGAUCCAACAAAGAUGGUACAAACGCAGCAUGGGAAAGCAAGUAUCCCCGAGCUGUCGUCAUCAGGAAACAAGGUUGUCGCGGUUCCUCCCCUGGAGGCUUUAGUCGAGGGUAAAAUACAUUUGAAAAUUGUCUUGUUGGAUACUUCCUUGCUGCCAAUGCAUCAUUCUACUUAGUGAAAGGUAUUUUGGAGAAAUUGUGGUGAUUCUACAGUAACUAUUUAGUACGUGUGGAAUGAUUUGGACAAUUGAUUAUUUUUCUGUAUCGCAAAUAUUCAUUAUUGAUUAUGGGUGCGUUUGGGAACGCUUUUGGGAAAAGUCCUUAGCAAAAUGCAAAGACCUUUGAGUUUAAUGUAUUUUUCAAAAUGCAAAGUGUGUUUGGUAAAAUUGUAGUUUGAAAGCUCAUUUGAAGUAUUUUUGUGCAAAAUAGUGUUUGGAGGAAUUAUAUUUGCAAAGUGCUUUGGUGAUAAANNNNNNNNNNNNNNNNNNNNNNNNNNNNNNNNNNNNNNNNNNNNNNNNNNNNNNNNNNNNNNNNNNNNNNNNNNNNNNNNNNNNNNNNNNNNNNNNNNNNNNNNNNNNNNNNNNNNNNNNNNNNNNNNNNNNNNNNNNNNNNNNNNNNNNNNNNNNNNNNNNNNNNNNNNNNNNNNNNNNNNNNNNNNNNNNNNNNNNNNNNNNNNNNNNNNNNNNNNNNNNNNNNNNNNNNNNNNNNNNNNNNNNNNNNNNNNNNNNNNNNNNNNNNNNNNNNNNNNNNNNNNNNNNNNNNNNNNNNNNNNNNNNNNNNNNNNNNNNNNNNNNNNNNNNNNNNNNNNNNNNNNNNNNNNNNNNNNNNNNNNNNNNNNNNNNNNNNNNNNNNNNNNNNNNNNNNNNNNNNNNNNNNNNNNNNNNNNNNNNNNNNNNNNNNNNNNNNNNNNNNNNNNNNNNNNNNNNNNNNNNNNNNNNNNNNNNNNNNNNNNNNNNNNNNNNNNNNNNNNNNNNNNNNNNNNNNNNNNNNNNNNNNNNNNNNNNNNNNNNNNNNNNNNNNNNNNNNNNNNNNNNNNNNNNNNNNNNNNNNNNNNNNNNNNNNNNNNNNNNNNNNNNNNNNNNNNNNNNNNNNNNNNNNNNNNNNNNNNNNNNNNNNNNNNNNNNNNNNNNCGAGAGUAGCUGAGGAUAUUUUUGGAGAAAUAAAAAAAAGUGAACAGUGCCACUUGUAUGCCGAGAAAGCUGAAAGCCCAAGGCACCCCUUCACCUGCCUUGGGCUUUCAGCUUUGGGGAGGUCAGCAUUUCUUCAAGGCAAGUGUAAAUUUUUUUCCCAAACACCCAAUAUUUGGGCAAAUGGGCUUUGGGUACCCAAAGGUACUUGGCAAAGCUGGUGCCAAACGCACCCUAUAACAGGAAUCUACGGAGGGCUACGUGAUUUACUUAACACGAACAGGAGUUGAGGAGACGAGUAUCCAUCGCUUCCAGCAAGAAAACAAGAAACUCUACUCCCUCUGUUUAUAUGCAUAUGGGCAGCCACAACUUGGGUAUUGUCUGACGAGAUGGGGGACUUGCGCCACCAUAACCAAAACCGAAUCGCCCCAGGAAGUCGUGAACAAGGCUCGCGAGCUUCAUGAGCACAAUAGUUUCUGCAAGUACGACCUCAUCAAUAGCAACUGUGAGCAUUUCGCCUCAUUGUGCCGGACCGGCAUACAGGCAAGCACACAGACGGCAUUGGUCGGUGCUUGUCUGCAGAAGACCAGUGAAGUCAAAGAAUGGUUUAUGAAGUUUCUGCAGACGAAGUAAGUUCGAGUGACUCAAAAUUCCACGAAUCCUUCCUUCCCUGUCUUUUUACAAGCAACUAUUUUCAUCUGUUUAAGAGUCAUUUUCCGUCAUCCAGCAGUAAAACGAAUGAAACUUUAGUUUUGUAUAUCCACUUUUGGACUGGAAUGGGAAGCGAGAGACAUGCACGCGUGCACGGAGGAAGAACUGAGAUAAGAAAUUGUAUGUGAGCCGCAAAGCUAUGUUCAUUGUUAUUUGAUGUGCCCAGAAAUAUGUAAGGACUUCUGUCUGUUGAUGCUCGGUCCUCCUAGUUAGACUUGCCAAAAGAAGGUAACAUCUAAUCCUGAAUCAAUUUCUCACAUUCAAAUCAAUUCACUUUGGUGCAUGUUGGAUACAUUCUUUGGGCAUUCGAGAAAUAAUUGGAGAAACAAAACAAUGGUGAAAUUGCACUAGACUAUCAAAAAGAGUUUGUUCCACAAGUGCACAAUCUUUUCCUUCUCCGCGACCUCUCUCUCUCGACAAUAUUGUUAUGUAUUUUGUUGUUCUUGCUUGGCCACCAUUGUCAUUUACAUUAAAGCAUGAAAUGGAUUGACCUUGUUUUUCUUGACGGUGAUCUCUCUNNNNNNNNNNNNNNNNNNNNNNNNNNNNNNNNNNNNNNNNNNNNNNNNNNNNNNNNNNNNNNNNNNNNNNNNNNNNNNNNNNNNNNNNNNNNNNNNNNNNNNNNNNNNNNNNNNNNNNNNNNNNNNNNNNNNNNNNNNNNNNNNNNNNNNNNNNNNNNNNNNNNNNNNNNNNNNNNNNNNNNNNNNNNNNNNNNNNNNNNNNNNNNNNNNNNNNNNNNNNNNNNNNNNNNNNNNNNNNNNNNNGAAUGCUGAAAGCUGAAUGCCGGGGGGGACCAGCUUUGAGCAUUGGGCAUUCUGGAUAUGCGAAUUUACUGUUCAUCGCGUUACUGUUCAUCGUCUCCUCCACCAUUCGCCUUCUUCUUCGCCGUUCGUCUUCUUCUUUGCCAAAGGCGGCACUCAGCCGCGAUCUGGCCGCCGAGAAGCCUCGCCUGAGGUCGCACAACCUCAGGCGAGGUGGCCUGAGGUCGGGCGACCUCAGGCGGCGUCGCCUGGCACGCGCGAGACCAGGCGACCAGGCGAGGCCAGAUCUGGCCGUCGAACGGCUAGAUCUGGCGGUCUUGAGGCCGGAUCUGGCCGCGGAACGGCCAGAUCUGGCGGUCUUGAGGCCAGAUCUGGCAUCCGUGACCUCCGGCGGCCAGAUCUGGCGGUCCGGCGACGGCCAGAUUUGGCCGUCCGGCGGCAGUGGCCAGCCGCCGAAAUUUGAUUUCAGACUUUAAAAAAAAUAAAAAAUAACCAAAGCUAAUUCCAAAUGUAAAUUUUGCCAAACGGUGUUUAUGCUAAGUUGCAUUUCAAUGCUAAAAUUUACCAAACGGUCUAACAUUUCCGAAAGCCUCUUUCUCUUAAAGAUAUUUGCAUUCCCCCAAUGACAUUCCCCAAAAGCCGAACCAAACGGGCCCUUUACUUCUAUCCUUCCUGUAAUAGUUGGACAAAAAGAAAAGUUUGAAUCGGUCCGACUUGGUGGCUUUAUAAUAAAAAUAAAAUAAAAUAAAAAGGGAGAAACUGCCUCAAUUGAUGAGCUAUCUCUUCACUUCACACACACAAAUGCCACCUGUAGCAUAGCGAAAGUGCCAACGAGUUCUAUAACGUUACUGAGAAGUCAUUCUGUUCAUAGCUGAUAGCCAAAGCCUCCAAAUUAAGUUCCAUCAAGUUAAGAAGUACAACUUCGAGUGCACUCUAUCUAAAUGAAGCUAUCGAGAAAUUGUCUGAAGUUCUUUUCUGAGAAGGGCAUAAGGAAGGUUCUCUCUUUUAUGUUGCACAUCCUCAUUAUUGAUUACAACAGGAAUCUACAUUGGAGAAGGCUAUGUGAUUCACUUCACAUGAACAAGAGUUGACAAGACGAUUGUCGAUUGCUUCCAGCAAGAAGGCAAGAACCUCUAUUCCCUCUGCUUAUGUGUAUAUGGGCGGCCACAACUUGGAUAUUGUCUGACAAGAUGGGGGACUUGCACCACCCAGGGAGGCAUGAACAAGACUUGCGAGCUUCAUGAGCACGAUAGUUUCAGCAAGUACAACCUCAUCAAUAAUAACUAUAAGCAUUUCACCUUGUUUUGCCGGACUGGCAUACGGGCUAGCGCACAAACAGCAUUGGUCAGUGCUUGUCUGCAGAAUACCAGUGAAAUCGAAGAAUGCUUCAUGAAGUUUCUUCAGAUGAAUUAUGUUCAGGUGACCCAAAAAUUCCACCAAUCUUCCCUUCCCAAUCUGUCUUUUUACUAGCAAUUAUAUUCAUCUGUUUGAGAGACAUUGUCUGUCAUCCAGCAGUAAAAGGAAUGGAACUUUAGUUUUGUAUAUCAAGUUUUGGACCGGAAUGGGCAGCAAGAGACAUGCAGGUGUGCGCGAAGGAAGAACUGAGAUAAGCAAAUGUAUGUAAGCCGCAAAACUAUGUUCAUUAUUAUUUGAUGUGCCCAGAAAUAUUUAAGGACUUAUGUCUGUUGGUGCUCAGUUUUCCUAGUUAGACUUGCCAAAAGAAGGUAACAUCUAAUCCUGAAGAAUUUCUCGUAUUAAAAUCACUUCAAUUUGGUGCAUAUUGAAUACAUUCUUUUGGCAUUCGAGAAACAAUUGGAGAAACGAGACAACAAUGAAAUCGCACUAGACUAUCAGAAAGAGUUUGUUCCACAAAUACACAAUAAUUUCCUUCUCAGCAAACUCUCUCUCAACAAUAUUGACAUUUAUUUUGUUGUUUCUUGUAGCAUAGAACGUUACAGAGAAGUCAUUCUGUUCAUCUCUUUUAACUAAGACAGCUGAUAGCCAAAACCUCCAAAUCAAGCUGUAUCAAGUUUAGAGGUAAAACUUCAAGCGCACACUAUCUAAAUAAAGCUAUCAAGAAAUUGUCUGAAGUUCUUUUCUGAGAAGGGCAUAAGGAAGGUUCUCUCUUCUAUCUCAAACUAUUUACAAGAAUGAAAAACCAAUCCCAAAGGAUUUUAGUCAUUAUGUGCAAAAUGUUUUUGCUUCAUUCAGAUAACCUGGCAGCAUGGUUAUUCCAAAGGACAAGGCGCAUCGUAAGAUAAGUCAAGCAGGAAGGUACUUUUUUUAGCACAAAGCCGCAAAUAUGGAGUUCACUCCGAACCCAUUUCUCAAAUUUAUAUAUCACAACCCACAAAGCAAUGUGGGCUGCUAUUUGCUAUGAAAAUUUGAACAUGGUAGUCAGUGCUUAUUUGAUCGAAUAGGCCAAAUGAGUUUCACCUGGGAAGGAUACUGAAUAGUGUGACCAAUGACUGCUCUGCUCAUACAAGCAGACAAAUUCCUCGCUGGUGAACAAAUCGAUCAUGCAUGGUGCCUUCAAGACUUUGAUCGCAACAUGAAGUACGAACAACAUAAUAAAUAAAUUCAAGCAUUUCAUAUUCUAUUAGCACUGGCAGCUUCUAUUGAUUCUAAUUCUUUCACGACUUUAGUCAUGGAAGGCCGAGACCUAGGAGUCUCUUCAACGCAUUUUGAGGCAAGCUUUGCUAUUUGGAAUGCAGAAUAUCUAUUAUAUUUGCCCUUCAAUCUAGAGUCCAUUAUAGUCCACAGUUUGUCUUUACUGGAUAAGAAUGGUCCAGCCCACUCCACUAAAUUAGCUUUGCCUCGUGGACGUGUCGAAUCAAAUGCCCUCCAGCCCGUCAGUAUCUCAAGCAGCACGAUACCAAAACUGUAAACAUCACUCUUUACACAUAGACGCCCUGUAAAAUCCAAGAGCUUUAUGUGAUGUUACAGCGAAACAUUAGAAAAUAACUUCCUGAAAUUAUUGUCAAAAUUCAAGACUAAAUGUUUUUCAACCCUAAAGCUCCAUUCAUUUCACAGAAAACAAUUUUCUGGAAAAAGUUUUCCGGAUUUUCUGAUACUAAUUUCGUAGAAAAUGAACUGAUCAAGAGAAAUAUUUUCCUUCAAUGAAAAAAGUCUUUUAAAAUAGGGAAAAAUGUUUUCCUCUUUUCAAGUAGGGGAAGACAUUUUUCUCACUCACUCUCUAUUAUCCCACACUCUUGCUAGCCCUCACUUCUUUCUCUUAUUUCUUUUGUAAAAACGGCAACGCUAUUUCCACUCCGUUUAUGACUAAAUCCACCCCAUUUUCACCAAGGAAACAAGAUUGCCCUUGAUCAUUUGCUUGCAAUUUAAAGUGGUGGUCCCAUUUCUUUUUUUCUUUUAUUUUCACCUCCAUCUAGAAUCCAGUUGCCAUAAUUAAGCAUUUUACAUAUUUUGUUUUGGUCUAUUAUGGGCAUCCUAUAUAUAUUGAAGGCAUUAUGUUUUCUUUUUUAUUUGUAGAUUUUAAUUUUGUAGAAAUAAAUUGUCAAAAAGUUUUUUUAAGAAAAUAUAUAUCAAGUCUCUUUAAUUACAACAUAAAGAAUUUGUAUUUUUUUUUCCUUUACUAUUAGUCAGAUACUAUUACAAAGAGCAUGUGAGACGGUGUAAGAGCAUCUAGGAAUACAUUAAAAUCAUCGAUGUGAAAAAGUUAUGUAUAAUGAAGCAUCUUGAUAUUUUUUAUCAUGAAUACUUCAUGUAUGCUAUUAAUUUUUGUCAAUCCAAAAUGAUGAGAUUUCAUUAGCAUUUGAAAAAUAUAUAUUUUGUGCAAUUUUUUAAAUAAUUAAUUUUUAUCUUUUAAAUUUUCAUGUUGGAAAGUAUAACUAUGAUUUCAUUUUUGAAAACCUUUAAAGAGGUUUUUUUUUUUUAAUCCUAUCAUUGCAUUUGAUGUAUUUGUAUAUAAAGGACAACUGAUAAGAAAAGGAUUAAUGAUGAUAUGCACAACAAAAGUGAAAAUUUAUAAACAAGUCACUAUGUUAAAAAUUAUCUAUCUUUAUUUAUUUAUUUUUUGAAAUUUUCUUUGAUAAUCGAUCCUUAAGUUUGCUCAACAAUGCAAAAAAGAGUUAGGUUUUUUGAAAAUUUUCUUUUCAACAAAACUAAUUUCUAAGAAAAUAAAAUCUAUUAAUAAAAAAGAAAACCUAGUGCACACAAUAUGCCAAAACAAAACAUGUGAAAUUCUUAAUUUUGGCAAUUAGAUCCUACAUAGAAAUAGAAAAACUAAGAAAAGCAAAGUAAAUUAAUUUGUGGCACACAAAUUGUGUGUACCACAGAAAAAAAAAAAUUGGGGCAAUUUUGUGUGUGUAUGUGUGCAUGCACUCCAUAAAUUUGUGGCACUAUGUUCAAAAAAAUAAAUAAGUUUGUAGCACUAGUUUAAAUUGCACUAAAUGAUUUGGGGUAAUUUUGUCUUUUUGUUAAAAAAAAUUGGGGUGGAAAUAACACCGUCCUUUAAAAAAUUAGAAUUUUUAAUUCUUUUUCUUCUUCUAUUGUCUUUUUCUUAUUUUCUUUCUUUCUCAACCGGUUGCCAACCACAAGGUGGAAUUAGUCAUAUAAGGAGUGGAAAUAGCACUGCCCUCUUAAAAAUUGGAAUUUUUAAUUUUUUAAAUUUUUUUAUUUAUAUUUUUCUUACUUUUCUUUCUUUCUCGGCCAACCGCCAGCCACAGCAACGGUCAAGGAUCAGCCUUGGGCAAGCCUUGAGCUUACUUGCCAGAUCGACUAGCUCCAGCUAACCACUCGCCGAUUUGGCAAGGCCUAAGGCCACCGAACUCAAAUUCACCUUUGGCCAGUCACCAUGGCUGGCUAUCAAUUGAUGAAGAAGGAGGAGGAAAAGAAAAAGGUGGAAAGAAAAAUGAAAAUUUUAAAAAUAAUAAUUAAAAAUUCAAUUUUAAAAUAAAAUAUUUAUUAAAAAGAAUCCAUGGAGUAAAAUCGAAUCGAAUUUUUCAUAUCGAACGGCAAAAAAUAUUUUUUAGUUCAUUUUCAAGUUUCAAUCGAAUACCGAAAAAUAUUAUCAUUUUUUUUUCUAGAAAAUGGCUUUAUGAAAUAUAAGUUGCCAAAAGGCACUUUACAAUGGAAAAAUUACCGGUUGCUCUGUAUUCAGGGGCAGCAUAGUGAAAGGUACCCAUAAAUUGUGUCGUAACAUGUGACUUGCCCUCUGAAGGACCAGACCUCACCAGUCCAAAGUCCGUGAGUUUGGCCGUGUAAGACUGCAGAAGAACCGAACAAUAGAUUAGACUCGGGUUCCAACCUAAAUAUCAAUUGGAAACUUUUUGUGAAUCUAGCAAAAGACAAUAUGGAUAUAUUUAAAAGCAACUAGGUACAGUUUAAUGCUCUUGUGUUCUGAACUAAACAUCAAAUCUAAGAAGGAUAGAUUUGUGAUCAAUUACAGCCCUUCCAUCAAUUAAGCAGAGGGAAACGUAGGUUCUGCACUCGCUAUUAUGACUCUUUUCUCCUGGUUAGAGUACACAAUUGCAAGUGUUCAAAGUGAGAUACUAGGCAUUUCAUUGUCAUCAUUUGGAAACUUCUCCCAAGAAUUUGAUUAGAAUGAUAUGGUUCAUAUGAAUUUUAUGAUACAAGACCUUAAUCAUUAUAAGGAGGAUAAAGCAUUAACCUCAUCUAGCAAAAUAUUUGAAGAUUUGAAAUCCCUGAAUAUUAUUUGCCUCUCAAAAUUGUGCAAGAAGGCCAAGCCUCUGGCGGCCCCGACCGCGAUCUUGAGGCGUACAUCCCAUGAAAGAUGAUCUGCGGAGCCCUCUGUACCCAGAGUAAUAAACAGUGUAAAAUGUAAGUAAUUCUUAAAAGCAAAUACAUAUUAAAACAAGCUUGAAUUUUGAAAUAGGCACAUGCAUCAACUAUGACUGAACUAAUCGAGAAGAUAUGCUAAACAAAUGGCAUCCUUAAGGAGACUUAUUCUAAAUUUACAAAAUGAUUAGACCACUUACUUCUGAAUAGCUGUUUUUCCAAACUGCCCAUUGGCAUGAACUCAUAAACAAGAGCUAAAUUUCCAUCCUCUUGACAAAAUCCCAGGAGCUUGGCAAGGUUAGGGUGAGAUAGCCUUCCAAGAAAGUCUAUUUCCCUCUGCACGGAAAUAGGCAAAAGAGAGUCUCACACAUGGUCAAUAGUAAAAGAUAUGAAAGAAACGGAAGCCCCCACACCAAACCAGGCAGAUGUUUUUCUCCUUAAGCUUCAAAUGGUCAAAGAAAUGAAACAAUCACGGUGGCAUAGUUGAUAUCGAAACAAAAGGUACAUAAUCGAAACUGAGACCUAAUUCCCAAUGAAAUGUUCAGUUUAACUAGUAAUUUGACCGAAGACUCAUGGUCAUUGUGCAUCCUGUAAUAUAAAAUACAUAUCAAUAUUGGUAAAACAUACUUUAAGUCAUACCAGCUCUGUAGAAAAUAUCUAGCUCGCAUGAACCAGUAGAAGCUAUGUAGAAUCAUUGGAAUUUGUGAUAGAAAACCGUUUAUAAUUUGCGACCAAACUGAUGACUUUAUCUUGCAGUGGUGUUUCCACCCUAUAUGGUUUGAUCAACCUUGCAAUUUGUUUCAGUUCUUGAAUAUAGAAGCAAAAUUCGCUCGAAGGAAGAAGAAAACGAGUUCACUAUGAAAAGAACCGCAUUGCAUUAGUCAAAGAAGGUUAGAAAGAUGAAGUUGCCUAGGGGCUAUGAUCACAUCGAAAAGGUUAAUCAUUACACGGAUGGAAGAAUCCGAACUUAUAUUUGCGCAAUUUCUUCAUUCCUUGCCAUCGAAUCGCACUUACUAGGUUCUUCCAAUAGUUAGCAUCAUACAAGCCAAUGGCCACACACACUCACAUGGCAUGGGUUUAUUAAGUCAAUUACAAAAUAUAAGAAAUGCAAAAAGAAAGUUCAUCACCGUUAACUAAAUGGAGCCCCUAAAUAUAUUUUGCCGAGGACCUUAGUCAUCAAAUAAUCUCAAGAACAAAGCCAAAAGCGUAUUUUCAACUGUAAAUAAAUCGUCAAAAAAAAAACUGUAAAUAAAUCGUUGAUCUUUCCUUUCUAUCGGAAUGAUUGAAGCAAAAUCGCUUCUUAGAUUCUUCUUUUACUUCAUUUAAAUUCAAAUAGUGCGCAUUAUGUCCACUCAAGUGGGGGUUAGAUAACUGAAAACUUCACAAGGAUCAUGAACAUACGUUUAGGUAAUAUCACCACACAAUUAACACUACUCAGUCAGGCACCAACAAUAGUGUUGCUGCCGCCCACUGCCAUCAAUUUGCACCCUAGGUCCCUAACAAAGCCGAUAAGGCAAUCAAUGAACUCUCAGAAUUAUCUGAUCUCUCUAUAACCAAAAUUAGAGGCAAUCCUAUAAGCACCCUUUCAGAAACAAAAUUGGAAGGCAAGGCCACCGCUUAUAGGAAUCCUGGGAUAAUCAACUUCAGAUACAUUUGGAUUUGCGUUUAUAUAGCCAUAUAAAUUCAGGUUGUCUAGUAUUUCUGCUUCUGCUAUUUUCACAACGAGGAUAUUUAUUGACACAGCUGAGUUGGGCAUGACAAGUUCCCAUCAGUAAAAGUACCAAAAAAGUCAUAAACCUAUUCAUUGGUAUCAAUACAGUCCUAAAUCUUUCAAUAAAACCAAUUUGAUCAUAAACAUUUUCACAUUAGUACAAAUUCAGUCCAUCCAAUCAGUUUAGGUUGGAAAUCAGUGAUGUAGACUUCAACGAUCCUAUGUGGCAUCACCUAACGUGAACAUUUUAAAAUAAUCUUUUUACAAAAUUUUCGAUUUUUUGUUAUUUAAAAAAAAAAUCCUCUUUUCUUAUUAUUCCUUUUUUUUCCUUUCUUUGGACCGUGACCGAUACCAGCCAUGACCAACGAGUGGCCACAAGCAAGGGCUAGCAAGGGCAUCAUGGCCCUCACCGGCCACAGGCGAGGGUGAGACCCUUGCGGCCCUCGCCAAGUCUGGCAAGGGCUCAACCCUCACUGGAUCUGGCGACGGCGAGACCCUCGCAAUUUGGGCGAGGGUGGCUCUUGCCUAACUCUGUGGGGAUGAUGAGGGCUUGAUGCCCUCGUCAGCCCCCACUUGUGGCUGGUCGUUGACAAUGGCCAGUACUAGCUAUCCAAAGAAAGGAAAAAAAUUUAAAAAAAAUUGAAGAAUUAGUAAAAAAAUUAUUUUAAAAUAUCCACGUCAGCGCAGGCAAUACAUAGGAUCAUUGGUGUCCACAUCACCAAUUUCCAGCCUAAAUUGCCAGAUGAGCUGUAGGUACUAAUCUGAAAAGAUUUAUAAUUAAAUUAAUAUAAUUGAAAGGUUUGAGACUAAUUAGUACUAAUGCAAUAAAUUUAUGUCUUUUUUUAUAUUCUCCCCAGCUCCCAUCGGUACCACCAUGCAUUUGGGUUUCUUCGUUUUUGUAAUUGACAAAGCAAAGUAUUUGUAUUCCGAGAAAGGAAUUGACGACGAAAGUUAGUUCUUACCAGCCACUCUCUAUACCCUUGAGUGCCAUUCCGGUUUAAUAUUUUCACGGCUAUUAUAGUCCUUGCUUGCUUCCCAGGAAGCACUGUAGUCUCUGAACUUCCAUACGGUUGCUCCCCAGGAAGCAUCAUAGUCUCUGCAAUUCCGUACGGUUGCUUCCCAGGAAGCAUACCUUUGUAGACACGACCAAAUCCUCCCUCUCCAAGCAGUGCAUCGGCUGUAAAAUUUUCGGUCGCCGCUUUCAACUCUGCGAAACUGAAGACGGUCAAGCUGGGGCCUGCCACAAUCUUUCCAUCUCCGAAGGCCUUUUUGUCGCGGGCAGCUAGCAAGUCAUGGCUAUUGCUGGCUGCAGAAGAUGAUGAAAUACUGAUUUUCCACUUCGCUCCUGUAGUUUCAAAAAUAGAAAAACAAAGAACACAGAAAAUUGCUUCAGACGAUAACAAGAAGAACAUUAACGACUCCAAUCUGAAGCACAAAGAUUCAUUUUAAAGAGACUACAUAGAUGUAAAGAUAAACAUCACUCUAGGAAAAAAUUUGAAGGUUACCAGAUUUGAGAUGGCCAGCAUAGCUUGGAGUAGGGAAGUCAGGAGUACCGAAGCACACCCCCAUAUCUCUCUAUCUCUCUCUCUUUUAAAGGAACCUAUGAUGCUCGGACACGUUGCCGGAGCUUCCAUGUCAUAUCCGACACGUGUUGACGUGUCAGACACGUGGUCAAUUCUUCUCAACACGUUCCAACACGCGUGUCCAAGACAGAGAAUCGUUGAAGAAGACCAUGGAGGGUGAAGGCGAGGUCGAGGGAGCAGAGGCGAGGCCACGAGUGACGGCGAGGGAGUGGCAUAGGAAGAGCAGAGACCAAGCCACGACUGCAAUGGAAGGCCAGCAGCAAGGCUGCGGGUGCAAAGGAAGAACAGCUAGAGGGCUAGAGGCAAGGCAACGAGCGAUUGUGACGAGCCGACCGAGAGAGAGCAGAGAUCAAGAGGGAGAGGGUCGUGCGAGGAAGAGGAGGAGGAGGCAGCAGCUAGGGAGGGAUGAAACUAAAAAAAAUAAAAAUGGGAUUUGAUGGGACUUUGGCGAUCCUUUCUUUAUGAAGGAAGGGGAGGUGCCAUGGACGAGAGGGCGUUUAAUUUUCAAGAAAGAAGUGACAAGUUGGGAAAGGGGGAAAAGAAACGAGGAAAGUGAAAUUUGGGGGUGGGUGUUGGGGGUGGACCCGGAGGACUUUUUUAUUAGAAAAAUAAAUAAAGAAUGUUAUAAAAUCAUUUUGAAAAAUAAAAGUAUUGAAUGUUAAAUAAUUAUAAAAAAUUAUAGAUUUAUUUAAAUAAGUUAAUUUGAAUUUCUUGUUAAUUAUUAGUUUCAUCAAUAAUUUUUAUUGGAGUUAGAAAUAUGUUCUAAACAUGGAUAUGCAUUAAUUAUGAAUGUCUUUCCAAUUUCCUAUAAAUAGAUUUAUUAAUAUUAUUAAUGUAAAUUUAUUCUAUGCUCUUUUCAUUAUUUAUUUAAUUGUAAAUUUAAAUCAAAUUAAUUAAAAAUUAAAAUAUUUAUUUAAUAUAUAACGUAUUUUAACGUAUCAAAAUUCUCUAUUUUUGAGAAAUCGUGUCAUGUCACGCGUAUUUAGACAGGAACUAUUAUCUUUCCUCCUCCUUGCCUUUACCCAGUCUUACUUCCUCGGGAGAAAAGGCAAUCGACUUUCUUCCGUUUAGACAUGUCAAACCACCCAAAAUGCACUUAAUGCUGAUAUGAAUGUGUAGCUUCUUCUCAAGCAGUAGCGUAUGGAAUGCCUCACCCGAUCAAUGAUGAAAUUAGAAACUUCUGGCCCGUCAUUCAUUCAGCAGAAAAUCAAACCUGGCUCCGCACACGCUUUUCACACUAGCUGAUUUUCUUAUUUUUCCAUAGCAGAUCACACAAAUUUCCAAUGCAUUCCAUAUUGACUUUCGCUGGACUUUUACGGACAGGAAACAAUAAAAGGAGAGAGAAAAAGAAAGUUCGUCAAUGAGGCACAAAAAAUUAGAUCCCUCUAAGUUAAAAAUCCCACGUUUGGCCAUGUAUGUGCUUUGAUAAUCAUUGACUUUUCUCAAAAUUUGAUUAUACAUGAUAGAAAGAAGAACUAUGAAAAAUUGCAAACUCGCUUUUAAUAGUUUUUGACAGUUUCGUAACAAAAUCCUUUAGAAAAGUAAUGAGAGCACGCAACAAAUGAGGUUUAGAUCCCUAACUUUACCUUACACUGCUUCCUCUUCUUUUCAGCAAGUCGUCUGCCCAGCUAACGUCGGAAUAAAAGGUCGAUCCUUUUUCAUCAGAGUCAAUCAAUUUGGAAAGAUGAUGUCCAAUUCCAUUUGGUGGAGAUGUCAAUGUCUAUGGAAGGGUUUUGCACCGCAUUUUGUGUUAAUUCUGUUCUCCGAGGCAUCUUGCUUUGCAAUCCAAAAAUCGAGUAACGAGUUUUUCAUGGAAGUAGUUUGCUGUCAGCUUAGCUGUCAAUAGUCCUAUAAAGCCAAGGGGGAAAUUGAUUCCAUUAUCUGCUUUCGUGCGGUUCAGUCAGGUUUUUUCUUUCUUGCGGUGUAUUCAUCCAUUCACAAACAUUCCCGAAGCAGCAGUACGAAAUGAUAUAGUAUUAUUAGGCCCAAAAGAAAUUAUUUCAUUUCCAAGACACAAUCAAUUUCCUUUCCCAAUUUUAUAGACGGCAAGAUAUUAAGGGAAGACCAGCUCUGAUCUGAGGUUCCCGCAAAACAUUCGGACAGCUUGGCUGAGCAGCUUUCUUAACCGCCGACGUGCAGGUGACGGGCUUUUCUCUGAACGCCGUACGAAUCUAACACCUUCGAAACGUACGUCCUUUGUAAAUCUUUGGUCACUACGCUUGACUUUCGAAGCUUUAGACCUGGACAGCUACCACACAAAAAAGCCACUUCCAGGUACGCUGCUAGAUUGAUAGAAAGCAAGUUUCAAGCCACAAUUUUCUCAAAGCCUACAUGAUUCCCUGCAAUUAGCCAGGGACCCUUAAAAAGUACCGUCAUUGGCCCUUAAUUCCAAAAUGCACUCUCAGAAGCUCGAAAUCCGCCAGGCAAAGAUGAUGUGAUUAAGCUGAGCUUUUUCUUUCAUCAUGACAUAGAAAGCUGUCUUGAUCAACAUUGCCCGAACCACCUGUUUUAAAUUGAAUAAAAAUGCAGAGCUGAGCCUAGGAAUUAUCAUCAGCCAUGCACUGGUGUGGUCAAAAAGAAAUUGCAGGAGAAACCGAAUGCUAAAUUCAUGAACUCAAAAUUGAACACACUAAGGGAGUACGAUGUCAUGCACAUACCUACUAAGUUGUUAGACGACCAAUAAGCUUGAUGGAAAAGCAAGGUUAUAAUUCAAAACUAUCCUUAACAAAGAAUGGAAUGUGCCUAUCGAGCUUAGCUGACACCCCUUUCAGAUACACAACAGCAUUAAUUGGACAACCCUGCUUAAUACCCACGGUUGGCCCCAUAGACCGAGCCAUAAAUAAUUGAGUGAUGGAUUUAACUUUUGAGUCAACCCAGUCAGUCUAGUUUUCAAUCGUAAUAAAAGAUUCUGAUGAUAAGAAUUGUGAAUCAAAUCGAUCCUUCAUGGUGGAAACAAACCAAUUCAAUUAGUGGGUCUAUUUUAAACUCCCCCAAAAAAGUUAAUAAGUCCGUUAGCUCUAGAGGGAGAUUUGUACUAAAAAAGAAUAAAUUAUUAGUGUUACUUAACAUUUCAUCCUCACUGGUAUAAGUUUCAAUGGCACAUAUGAUAUUAUCCAAUAGUUCAUAUUCAACAGAGAAGAUGGAUUCGAGAUCAUCAUCAUUAAGACAAAUUUCAAUUUUUUUCUCAAAUUUCUGAAUUAUCUCAACACACUUAUUUUUCUUAAGCCAUCUCAAGACAAAUAACCAACCUGUCUCCCUCCCCUCUCUUUCAUAAGUACUCUCCACAAGAGUUAAAUUCUCAAUAAAUUCAGCCCCUCCAAAAAUUUGAAUCCACAGUCACUUUUCCUGCGUGAGCGAAAUGAAAGAAGGAGGGAAAACAAUUCAAAAGCACUCAUCUAGGCUACGCAUGACAACGCUUUUUAGUUGGGGAAAAGUUUUUUUUUUUUUCAGAAAUAGUUCUUUUUUAUUUCUAUUCCGGGGAAUAAUUUCUGAGUAAAAGAACAUGUUUGGUAACUACACAAAAUUUCUAUUCUUGGAAUAGAAAAAGAAUAGAAAUGCGUUUGAUAAUGCAACAGUUUCUUUUUUGUAUUUAUUCAUUUUUUAUUCUUGGGCAGCGACCGGCAGCGGCGGGCGGUGGGCGACCGGCAGCGGUGGCAACCGGCGACGGCGGCCGGCAACGGUGGUCGGUAGUGAGUGGUGGCUCCGAGCGGUUGAAAGUGGCCGUGGCAAGAGAGAGAAAUAAAAGAAAAAUAAAAAAGAAAAUUAGCUUAUUUCUAAAAAUUGUUCCCGAGAACAAGAAGCAACUUUUUUUUGCUUCUCGUUUCUGCUCCAAAUCUAUUCCUAGGCUAACUUUCUAUUCCCGGGAAUAGAAAAACAACUUGGCGUCACGGGUUUCUGUUCUUUUCAAAAUAACAGAAAUUCUAAGGAACAAAGACGUUGUCAUGCAGUGCCCAAACCCCCCCCUAAUGCCCCCCUCUAUUCCAAAGUAAAAUUUUGUCUUCCCUACUUAGGAUGGAAUUCUCCUAAAUUUUAGUCUUAGAGUUUAAAUAAAGCAGUUUAAGAGAGUACUCAGAUCCACCUGUCCCAUCUCCAUCUCUCUCUUUUUUUUCUUAAUUUGUAAGAUUCCUUUUGAGAAACGGCACUAAAUGCUGCUCUAGGUUUUUCACUUGUGAUGAUGGAAAAGCUUCCGCCUAACUUUCAACUCUCUCUCUCGCUCGCUCGCUCACGUCCCCAGACCAGAUCAAAGAUACCCUUCAAAAGCACUCGUCCUCUUACCCAGGUUCAUCCGCCCCUAACUCUUUCCUCAUUUUACUCUCUUCCCAUCACUCAUAAUGCUCCUCCUCAUCCGCCUUGCCAUUUAUCGCUACCACCAUCAACCUUCCGAGGCAUCCGAAGGGUUGGCUUCUGGCACGCGCGCACCUUAGCAGGAGUAGUGCUGGUGACUAGCUCCCUCUGGACUUCACUUCGUCCAUUUCCACAUGAAGUAAAAAAAACCACACGCUAGCAAGCAUUAUAUGGUCCUUACAAAAAAUUCUUGGAUUAUGUUCGAGAUUUUUACUAGGUCCGUAUUUUUUCUAUAAAUUAUGUCCUUUAUCAGUGUAAAGCAAUUUCUACACAUUGGGCGUUGGAUAGGGCAACAUGUGUAAUAAUGCAAUUUGAUAUUUAUCCAUGUAUUUUCAUACAUAUAAGUGCCGCGGAAUCGGGGGAGAACAAAUAUUUGAACUCUCAAUAAGUAUGUUCUGGGGAGACAUUACCAAACGUCCAAACUAAGGCUAAGAUUUUUCAGCACAAUUUUCAGCACAUUUAUUAGCCACUUUCUAAAAUAAUACUUUACAAUAUUCGUAGUAGCCACGCUCAAACAAUUUACGGACAUACUGUGCUCAAGACGAUCAGCACAUCACAUCAACUUCUUUAUUUUAUAGAAGGGCUUCUUCACCCUUUUCUUUUUUAUAUGGCCCGGACAAAUUCAUCUUGCCAAAAAAAAAAAAAAACAAAUAUAACUCUAUGGAUGGGCUGAGGUACAAAAAACUAGCAAUGCCAUCUUUCAUUAUAUCUUUCAUAUAAAUGGUGAUUGAUUGCAGCGCACCAUGUGAAACCCAGCGUAAAACGUAAGCUUAUUUGCUUAAUCUCCGCUAAAAAGGUUCAAAAAAUUGGUCCCCCACUGUCUCUCCUUUUUGACUGNNNNNNNNNNNNNNNNNNNNNNNNNNNNNNNNNNNNNNNNNNNNNNNNNNNNNNNNNNNNNNNNNNNNNNNNNNNNNNNNNNNNNNNNNNNNNNNNNNNNUGACACCCCUAGGGAGAUUCUAUUGAGAAACGGCACAGUGCCAUGCUUCUAUAGCAUUCCACUUGUCAUGAUGAAAAGCUUCAACCCAACUCUCGCUCAAUCAUGUCACCAGAGCAGCUCCAACUUACCCUUCAAAAGCACUCUCUCACGAGAAGUACCUAAACUUCAUCCCACCUCUCCCGAGCAACACCGACACGUGAUAUGAACACGCGACACAAUAUGAUACAACAUGUCCAUACAUCAUUUCUCGAAAAUAAAAAAUUUCAACACGUUAAAACACGUUAUAUAUUAAAUAAAUAUUUUUAUUUUUAAUUAGUUUGAUUCAAAUUUACAAAUAAAUAAAUAAUAAUAAAAGAGCUUACACUAAUAAUAUUUUCUUUUUUUUUUGGUAAAGGGUCCAUUAGUAGGAAAUUCGAAAGACAUGUUCAUAGUUAAUAUGUAUUCAUGUUUGGGAACAUGUUUCUAACUUUAAUAAAAAUUAUCGAUGAAAUUAAUGGCUAAUAAAAUAUUAGAAUAACUUAUUUAAAUAAAUCUAUCAUCUUCUAUAAUGAUCAAAAUUUAUUAUUAUUUAAUAUUUAGUAUUUUUAUUUUUCGAAAUCACUUUUUAGCCCCACUUAUUUUUUUUUUUGACCAAAAAAAAAGCCCCGCUGUCCAAAAAUUAUUUCCCUCUCUUUUUAUUUUUCGAAAUAACUUUCUGCCUUGCCUGCUUCACAGCCGCAAUCUCGCCUCCGGCCCUCUAUCACGGCAUCACAAUCGCAGCCCUCCUAAUCGCCUCGGUCUCUGCUCUUCCACUGGCCCUUCUUGCAGUCGCAAACUCGCCAUCACUUGUGGCCUCACCUCCACUCCCUCGCCCUUGCCUCCACCCUCCAUCACCUUCUUUAAUGAUUCUCUCUCCCAUUGCACUUACAAACCUACCCUAGAAACCACCAUGCCUCUCGCAAUUGUGAACACGCAUGUUGGAAUGUGUCAAAAAGAGUUGACCACGCGUCUGUAACAUCCCGGGUCUCACUGUGUGAUAUUAUCCGCUUUGGACACUGAGUCCUCACGGCUUUAAAACGCGUCACACAUAUUAAGGGACCCAAGUCAUUAUAAAUUGGCCCAAGACUCUCUCCCUAGGCGAUGUGGGACAAGGACCCCUUCCUUGCGCACGUCCGGGGACCGAGGCGCGGACGCACCGCCAUCCCUCCUCCCCACGCACCGCCGCUCGGGCCGUCACACUCUCCCCCCUUGGGAGCACAGCGCCCUCGCUGUGGCCCCACACGCGGUCGGGAGUCGGCUCUGAUACCAUUGUAACAUCCCGGGUCUCACUGUGUGAUAUUGUCCGCUUUGGACACUGAGUCAUCACGGCUUUAAAACGCGUCACACAUAUUAAGGGACCCAAGCCAUUAUAAAUUGGCCCAAGACUCUCUCCCUAGGCGAUGUGGGACAGGGCCCCCUUCCUUGCGCACGUCCGGGGACCGAGGCGCGGACGCACCGCCAUCCCUCCUCCCCACGCACCGCCGCUCGGGCCGUCACAGCGUCAAAAAUCCAACACAUAUUGGCCGCAUGUCCGAACUUGUCCGAACGUGUCCAACAUGCUCGAUUACGUGUUAGGGUGUCAGAGAACACGUAAAACGUGUCCAUGUUUCAUAGCACCUAACUUCUUCCUUUGCUUUUCCUCUCUUCCCAUCACUCCAUAUUCCUCCUCCUCCUCCUCCUUCAUUGCCAUUAUAAGGUCGGCUUCUGGCACACUCGCUUUAGCAGGAGCAGCACAGGUAAUUAGCUCCCUCCGGAACUGGCGUUCGACGCUAAUUUAAGACCAGCUCAAUCACCCCAGUCCAAGACAGUGCAACAGGGACCAAGAGAGGGAAAAUGUUGGCUCAGAGUAUCAUCUCUGUAUUCGCAAUAUAGAUGCGACCCACAGGGGAUGUGGUAAGACAGAAAGAUCUCAAACUUGGAGUUGGAGAUCACAUCUAGACUUAUCGGCUGUAUGGCCUAUACACCCAUCAUGGUUAGUGUUUCAUCCUCUUCUUCCUUUUCCUAUUAAUCGUUAUCAUUUUUCUUGAACAUGUAUAUCUUCAUAUGUGGCUCGAUUGAAUUUUCCUUUAUUAUCCUAUGUUUUUGGCCCAAGAACAGUAUUUGCAUAGCCUCAGAGAUAAAGACUCUCCUCCACCACCGUCGCACGUUCCGGCCGCUCCCCUCCGGCGGCCCCAUUGUCGAACCCUCUUCUCAGCUUUUCAGGAGUUCGACGAAAUGCCAGAGAGAGAACCUGACUGACCUGUGCUUCAUUUCUUUCUUUCCGGUCGCCGAUCCAUUUCAAGCUUCGCCGUUAUACUUCUCAGCAGUUCCAGCUUCGACCGUCUUCAUCUCCAGCGAAUCUCCAUCGUAGACUCUCCGCUUCGCGACUUCGUUUGUGUUGACGAGGUGUUCGACAAAAUGCCGGAAAGAUGGUAAGAUUGAAGUUCUCCUCCAGUCCGCAGCGCCACCAUUCCUUCUGGUAGCUGUUAUGGUCCAGGUUUUCAAGGGCGUCAACCCAGCAUCUUCCCCCCACUGCCGACAACGAUCCAUCACGCAGGACAUAGAUCCAGCAAUGCAGCAUCGGAUAGCAAGUACGCCCAAGUUGUCGUCAUCAGGAAACAAGCUUGUCGCAGUUCCUCCCCUUGAGGCUUUAGUCGAGGGUAAAAUACAUUUGAAAGUUGUCUUGUUGGAUAUUUCCUUGCUACCAAUGCAUCAUUCUACUUAGUGAAAGGUAUUGUGGAGAAAUUGCGGUGAUUCUACAGUAACUAUUUAGUACAUGUGGAAUGAUUUGGACAAUCGAUUCUUUUUCUAUAUUGCAAAUAUUCAUUAUUGAUUAUAACAGGAAUCUACGUUGGAGAGGGCAAGGUGAUUUACUUAACACGAACAGGAGUUGAGGAGAUGAGUAUCCAUCACUUCCAUCAAGAAGGCAAGAAACUCUAUUCCCUCCGUUUAUAUGCAUAUGGGCGGCCACAACUUGGGUAUUGGCUCUCGAAAUGGGGGACUUGCACCAGCUUACCCAAAACCAAAUCGCCCCAGGAAGUCGUGAACAAGGCUCGCGAGCUUCAUGAGCACGAUAGUUUUGGCAAGUACGACCUCAUCAAUAGCAACUGUGAGCAUUUCGCCUCGUUUUGCUGGGCCAGCAUUCAGGCAAGCACACAGACAGCAUUGGUCAGUGCUUGUCUGUAGAAGACCAGUGAAGUCAAAGAAUGGCUCAUGAAGUUUCUGCGGACAAAGUAAGUUCGAGUGACUCAAAAUUCCACGAAUCCUUCCUUCCCUGUCUUUUUACUAGCAACUAUUUUCAUCUGUUUGGGAGUCAUUGUCUGUCAUCCAGCAGUAAAACGAAUGAAACUUUAGUUUUGUAUAUCCACUUCUGGACUGGAGUGGGCAGUGAGAGACAUGCACACGUGCACGGAGGAAGAACUGAGAUAAGAAAUUGUAUGUAAGCCGCAAAGCUAUGUUCAUUGUUAUUUGAUGUGCCCAGAAAUAUGUAAGGACUUCUGUCUGUUGGUGCUCGGUCGUCCUAGUUAGACUUGCCAAAAGAAGGUAACAUCUAAUCCUGAAUGAAUUUUUCACAUUCAAAUCAAUUCACUUUGGUGCAUGUUGGAUACAUUCUUUGGGCAUUCGAGAAAUAAUUGGAGAAACAAAACAACAGUGAAAUCGCACUAGACUAUCAAAAGAGUUUGUUCCACAAGUGCACAAUUUUUUCCUUCUCAGCGACCUCUCUCUCUCGACAAUAUUGUCAUAUAUUUUGUUGUUCUUGCUCGGCCACCAUUGUCAUUUACUUUAAAGCAUGAAAUGAAUGACCUUGUUUUUCUUCACGGUGAUCUCUCUCUCUCUUGACAACAAGGUUCCAAUUAUAUAAUAUGAAUUGGGUGGCCACAUGUAGCAGAGGGUUUAAGUUAGAUUGGUGCGCUGUUGACGUGGUCUGCACCGUUAACAAAGACGCUCUAGCAGAUUUACUUCUAUCCUUCCUGUAAAAGUUGGACAAAAAGAAAAGUUUGAAUCGGUCCUACUUGGUGGCUUUAUACUAAAAAUAAAAUAAAAUAAAAAGGGAGAAACUGCCUCAAUUAAUGAGCUAUCUCUUCACUUCACACACAUAAAUAGCACCUGUAGCAUAGCGCAAGUGCCAACGAGUUCUAUAACGUUACUGAGCAGUCAUUCUGUUCAUAGCUGAUAGCGAAAGCCUCCAAAUUAAGUUCCAUCAAUUAAGAAGUACAACUUCAAGCGCACUCUAUCUAAAUGAAGCUAUCGAGAAAAUGUCUGAAGUUCUUUUCUGAGAAGGGCAUAAGGAAGGUUAUCUCUUUUAUGUUGCACAUACUCAUUAUUGAUUACAACAGGAAUCUACAUUGGAGAAGGCUAUGUGAUUAACUUCACAUGAACAAGAGUUGACAAGAGGAGCGUUGAUUGCUUCUGGCAAUAAGGCAAGAACCUCUAUUCCCUCCGCUUAUGUGUAUAUGGGCGGCCACAACUUGGGUAUUGGCUGACAAGAUGGGGUACUUGCACCACCCAGGGAGGCAUGAACAAGGCUUGCGAGCUUCAUGAGCACGGUAGUUUCAGCAAGUACAACCUCAUCAAUAACAACUAUGCGCAUUUCACCUUGUUUUGGCAGACCGGCAUACAGGCAAGCGCACGGACAGCAUUGGUCAGUGCUUCUCUGCAGAAGAUCAGUGAAGUCGAAGAAUGGUUCAUGAAGUUUCUUCAGAUGAAUUAAGUUCAAGUGACCCAAAAAUUCCACGAAUCUUCCCUUCCCAAUCUGUCUUUUUACUAGCAAUUAUAUUCAUCUGUUUGAGAGUCAUUGUCUGUCAUCCAGCAGUAAAAGGAAUGGAACUUUAGUUUUGUAUAUCAAGUUUGGACUGGAAUGGGCGCAAGAGACAUGCAGGUGUGCGCGGAGGAAGAACUGAGAUAAGCAAAUGUAUGUGAGCCGCAAACCUAUGUUCAUUAUUAUUUGAUGUGCCCAGAAAUAUGUAAGGACUUAUGUCAUGUUGGUGCUCGGUUCUCCUAGUUAGACUUGCCAAAAGAAGGUAACAUCUAAUCCUGAAUGAAUUUCGCAUUAAAAUCACUUCAAUUUGGUGCAUAUUGGAUACAUUCUUUUGGCAUUCGAGAAACAAUUGGAGAAACGAGACAACAAUGAAAUCGCACUAGACUAUCAAAAAGAGUUUGUUCCACAAGUACUCAAUAAUUUCCUUCUCAGCAAACUCUCUCUCAACAAUAUUUGACAUUUAUUUUGUUGUUUCUUGUAGCAUAGAACGUUACAGAGAAGUCAUUCUGUUCAUCUCUUUUAACGAAGACAGCUGAUAGCCAAAACCUCCAAAUCAAGCUGUAUCAAGUUUGGAAGUAAAACUUCAAGCACACUCUACCUAAAUGAAGCUAUCAAGAAAUUGUCUGAAGUUCUUUUCUGAGAAGGGCAUAAGGAAGGUUCUCUCUUUUACCUCAAACUGUUUACAAGAAUGAAAAACCAAUCCGAAGGAUUUUAGUCAUUAUGUGCAAAAUGUUUUUGCUUCAUUCAGAUAACCUGGCAGAAUGGUUAUUCCUAAGGACAAGGCGCAUCGUAAGAUAAGUCAAGCAGGAAGGUACUUUUUUUAGCACAAAGCCACAUAUAUGGAGUUCACUCCGAACCCAUUUCUCAAAUUUAUAUAUCACAAUCCACAAAGCAAUGCGGGCUGCUAUUUGCUAUGAAAAUUUGAACAUGUAGUCGAUGCUUAUUUGAUCGAAUAGGCCAAAUGAGUUUCACAUGGGAAGGAUACUGAAUAGUGUGACCAAUGACUGCUCUGUUCAUGCAAGCAGACAAAUUCCCUGCUGGUGAACAAAUCGAUCAUGCAUGGUGCCUUCAAGACUUUUUGAUCACAUCACAUGAAGUACGAACAACAUAAUAAAUAAAUUCAAGCAUUUAAUAUUCUGUUAGCACUGGCAGCUUCUAUUGAUUCCAAUUCUUUCACGAAUUUAGUCAUGGAAGGCCGAAACCUAGGAGUCUCUUCAACGCAUUUUGAGGCAAGCUUUGCUACUUGGAAUGCAGAACAUCUAUUAUAUUUGCCCUUCAAUCUGGAGUCCGUUAUAGUCCACAGUUUGUUUUUACUGGAUAAGAAUGGUCCAGCCCACUCUACUAAAUUAGCUUUGCCUCGUGGACGUCUCCAAUCAAAUGCCCUCAAGCCUAUUAGUAUCUCAAGCAGCACGAUACCGAAACUGUAAACGUCACUCUUUACACAUAGACGCCCUGUAAAAUCCAAGAGUUUUAUGUGAUGUUGCAGUGAAACAUUAGAAAAUAACUUCCUGAUAUUAUUGUCAAAAUUCAAGACUAAAUUUUUUUCCACACUAAGGCUCCAUUUUUGCUAAAAACAAUUUUCUGGAAAAAGUUUUCCGGAUUUUCCGGUACUAAUUUCGUAGAAAAUUAACUAAUUGAGAGAAACAUUUUCCAUCAACGAAAAAAAUCUUUUAAAAUAGAGAAAAAUGUUUUCCUCUUUUCAAGUAGGGGAAGACAUUUUUCUCACCCAUUCUCUAUUAUCUCACACUCUUGCUAGCCCUCACUUUUUUCUCUUAUUUCUUUUUUAAAAACGGCAAUGCUAUUUCCACUCCAUCUAUGACUAAAUCCACCCCAUUUUCACCAAGGAAACAAGAUUUCCCUUGAUCAUUUACUUGCAAUUUAAAGUGGUGGUCCCAUUUCUUUUUUUCUUUUUUUCUUUUAUUUUCACCUCCAUCUAGAAUCCAAUUGCCAUAAUUAAGCAUUUUACAUAUUUUUUUUUUGGUCUAUUAUGGGCAUCCUAUAUAUUUUUUAAGAAAAUAUAUAUCAAGUCUCUUUAAUUACAACAUAAAGAAUUUGUAUUUUUUUCUUUACUAUUAGUCAGAUACUACCACAAAGAGCAUGUGAGACAUUGUAAGAGCAUCUAGGAAUAUGCUAAAAUCAUCGAUGUGAAAAAGUUAUGUAUAAUGAGGUAUUUAAUUUUUUUUUUAUUGUGAAUACUUCAUGUAUGCUAUUAAUUUUUGUCAAUCCAAAAUGAUGAGAUUUCAUAAGAAUUUAUAUAUAUAUUGCAAUUUUUUAAAUAGUUAAUUUUUAUCUUUUAAAUUUUCAUGUUGGAAAGUAUAACUAUGAUUUCAUUUUCAAAAACCUUUAAAGAGGUUUUUCUUUUUCUUAUUAAUCCUUUCAUUGCAUUUGAUGUAUUUGUAUAUAAAGGACAACUGAUAAGAAAAGGAUUAAUGAUGAUAUGCACAACAAAAGUGAAAAUUUAUAAACAAGUCACUGUGUUAAAAAUUAUCUAUCUAAAUUUAUUUAUUUUUUUGAAAAUUUCUUUGAUAAUCAAUCCUUAAGUUUGCUGAAUAAUGCAAAAAAGAGUUAGGUUUUUUUGAAAAUUUUUAUUUCAACAAAACUAAUUUCUACAAAAAUAAAAUCUAUCAAUAAAAAAGAAAACCUAGUGCACACAAUAUGUCAAAACAAAACAUGUGAAAUUCUUAAUUUUGUCAAUUAGAUCCUACAUAGAAAUAGAAAAACUAAGAAAAGCAAAGUAAAUUAAUUUGUGGCACACAAAUUGUGUGUGUACCACAGAAAAAAAAAAAUGGGGCAAUCUUGUGUGUGUGUGUACGCACUCCAUAAAUUUGUGGCACUAUGUUCAAAAAAAUAAAAAAAUUUGCGGCACUAGUUUUUUUUUUUUUGGUCCAAUUCCUUUUAAUUUGCAGCACUAGUUUAAGUUGCAAUAAAUGAUUUGGGGCAAUUUUGUCUUUUUGUAAAAAAAAUGGGGUGAAUCGAUCUAGUCAAAGAUAGAUUUUAAUUCUUUUCUCUUUUCUUUUUUCUUCUUCUCACCGGCUGCCGACCACAAGGUGGAUUUAGUCAUAUAAGGAGUGGAAAUAGCACUGCCCUCUUAAAAUUAGACUUUUAAUUUUUUUAUUUUCUUUUUAUAUUUUCUUUUUUUUUCUUCUUUCUCGACCAACUGCCAACCACAGCAACGGUCGAGGAUCAGCCUUGGGCGAGCCUUGAGCUUGCUCACCAAAUCAACGAGCUCAAGCUGGCCACUCGCCGAUUUGGCAAGGCCUAAGGCCACCGAGCUCAAAGUCGCCUUUGGCCAGUCACCAUGGCUGGCUAUUAAUUGAAGAAGAAGGAGGAGGAAAAGAAAAAAGUGGAAAGAAAAAUGAAAAUUUUAAAAAUAAUAAUUAAAAAUUCAAUUUUAAAAUAAAAUAUUUAUUAAAAAGAGUCCAUGGAGUAAAAUUGAAUCGAAUUUUUCAUAUCGAACGGCAAAAAAUGUUAUUUAGUUUAUUUUCAAGUUUCAAUCGAAUACCAAAAAAUAUUAUCAUUAUUUUCUAGAAAAUGGCAUUAUGAAAUAUAAGUUGCCAAAAGGCACUUUACAAUGGAAAAAUUACCGGUUGCUCUGUAUUUAGGGGCAGCAUAGUGAAAGGUACCCAUAAACUGUGUCGUAACAUGUGACUUGCUCUCUGAAGGACCAGACCUCACCAAUCCAAAGUCCAUGAGUUUGGCCGUGUAAGACUGCAGAAGAACUUAACAAUAGAUUAGACUCGGGUUCCAACCUAAAUAUCAAUUGGAAACUUUUUGUGAAUCUAGCAAAAGACAAUAUGGAAAUAUUUAAAAGCAACUAGGGACAGUUUAAUGGUCUUGUGUUAUGAACUAAACAUCAAAUCUAAGAAGGAUAGAUUUGUGAUCAAUUACAACCCUUCCAUCAAUUAAGCAGAGGGAAACAUAGGCUCUUCACUCCUACCAUGACUCUUUUCUCCUGGUUAGAGUACACAAUUGCAAGUGUUCAAAGUGAGAUACUAGGCAUUUCAUUAUCGUCAUUAUACUUCUCCCAAGAAUUUGACUAGAAUGAUAUGGUUCAUGUGAAUUUUAUGAUACAAGACCUUAAUCAUCAUAAGGAGGAUAAAGUAUUCACCCCAUCUAGCAAAAUAUUUGAAGAUUUGAAAUCCCUGAAUAUUAUUUGCCUCUCAAAAUUGUGCAAGAAGGCCAAGCCUCUGGUAGCCCCGACUGCGAUCUUGAGGCAUACAUUCCAUGAGAGAUGAUCUGUAGAGCCCUCUGUAACCAGAAUAAUAAACAGUAUAAAAUGUAAGUAAUUCUUAAAAGCAAAUACAUGUUAAAACUAGCUUAAAUUUUGAAAUAGGCACAUGCAUCAACUAUGACUAUGACCUAAUCGAGAAGAUAUGCUAAACAAUUGGCAUUCUUAAGGAGACCUUUUCUAGAUUUACAAAAUGAUUAGACCACUUACUUUUGAAUAGAUGUUUUCCCAAACUGCCCAUCGGCGUGAACUCAUAAACAAGAGCUAAAUUUUCAUCCUCUUGACAAAAUCCCAGGAGUGUGGCAAGGUUAGGGUGAGAUGCCUUCCAAGAAAGUCUAUUUCCCUCUGCAUGGAAAUAAGCGAAAGAGAGUCUCACACAUGGUCAAUAAUAAAAGAUAUGAAAGAAAUGGAAGCCCCCACACUAAACCAGGCAGAUGUUUUUCUCCUUAAGCUUCAAAUGGUCAAAGAAAUGAAACAAUUACAAUGGAAUAGUUGAUAUCGAAACAAAAGGUACAUAAUGGGAACUGAGACCUAAUUUCCAAUGAAAUGUUCAGUUUAACUAGUAGUUUGACUGAAGACUCAUGGUCAUUGUGCAUCCUGUAAUAUAAAAUACAUAUCAAUAUUGGUAAAAUGUAUUUUAAGUCAUACCAGCUCUGUAGAAAAUAUCUAGCUCGCAUGAACCAGUAGUAGCUAUGUAGAAUCAUUGGAAUUUGUGAUAGAAAACCGUGUAUAAUUUGCGACCAAACUGAUGUAUUUAUCUUGCAGUGGUGUGUCCACCCUAUAUGGUUUGAUCAACCUUGCAAUUUGUUUCAGUUCUUGAAUAUAGAAGCAGAAUUCACUCGAAGGAAGAAGAAAACGAGUUCACUAUGAAAAGAACCGCAUUGCAUUAGUCAACGAAGGUUAGAAAGAUGAAGUUGCCUAGGGGCUAUGAUCACAUCGAAAAGGUUGAUCAUUCCAUGGAUGGAAGACUCUGAACUUAUAUUUGCGCAAUUCCUUCAUUCCUUGCAAUCGAAUCGCACUUACUAGGUUCUUCCAAUAGUUAGCAUCAUACAAGCCAAUGGCCACACACACAAACGGCAUGGGUUUACUAAGUCAAUUACAAAAUAUAAGAAAUGCAAAAAGAAAGUUCAUCACCGCUAACUAAAUGGAGCCCUAAUAUAUAUUUUGCCGAGGACCAUAGUCACCAAAUAAUCUCAAGAACAAAACCAAAAGCGCAUUUUCAAUUGUAAAUAAAUCGUUGAUCUUUCCUUUCUAUCGGAAUGAUUGAAGCAAAAUCGCUUCUUAGAUUCUUCUUUUACUUCAUUUAAAUUCAAAUAAUGCGCAUUAUGUCCACUCAAAAGCGGGGUUAGAUAACUGAAAACUUCACGAGGAUCGUAAACAUAUUUAGGUAAUAUCACCACACAAUUAACACUACUUAGUCAAGCACCAACAAUAGUGUUGCUACCGCCCACUGCCAUCAAUUUGCACCCUAACAAUGAUCGGGAGUGAUUAUAUAUGUUCCGCUUGCGUUUAAUUGAAAGAUAGAAAGAACGAGUCAGCAAUAAAUCCUAGAACAUCACAAGUUUAUGGACUAUUGAGGGAUGCUCGUGCGCUCGGUGGUUCAGGGUGUGGCAAUCUUCUUCCACCAGCAAUUUUUCUCGCUGCAUAGCACAGUGCAGUGUCCUUGUCCGAAUUUGCCAUUGGAAGAAUCUCUUUGCAUGCAUCAACUUGUCCUUAUUCAAAAACCCAAUGCAGUCGAUUUGCAAACUAAACGGAGAGUUGUUUCGAAGCAUCUUACUUCAACAGCAAAGUGUAGGGGAGUGUCUCUUCUGUAGUUGCUUUACUAGAGAAGGAAUGGUCCUGAUGGACAUUGAAUGUAAGGUAUGAUUAUAAAAAGAGGAAGAAGUCGAGCUCCAAAAAAAAUGCCCGUUGCUACCAUAGGAGUGGCAUGUAUAAGAGUCAAAAUAGGAGUAGGGCCUUCCAUGGCAUCAAGCUACCAUACAUGAAGGAGGCAUUGUCCCAAUUCCGCAAUUGCACCUACAAAUUAAAGAAAGGCACAUAAAGUAAAAAAUUAAAAAAGAACCUCAUUAUUAUAAAUCAAGUUAUUGAAUAUUUGAAACAAAUCCCUUUUUAUCACAAAGAUGUUACAAAGAUGGGAUUUGAUCCAAAAUUCUCACUAUUUAUUAGUUUCAUGGACCCCACGCCCCUAUGGUGAAAUCAGUAGACAUGUUGCUCUUAUGAAGCAGAAGAAUAUCUACAAUCAACUUUGCCUCCAUGUAUUGAGCGGCAACACAAAGAAGGUUGCUCUACUUGGGUGUUGUUUCGUGGAAAGGGAAAAGGGAGAAUGUAAAUGUAAAAUAUAGGUUUUUGACCCAGUCAAAAAAGAAAAAGGAGAAAGAAGAAGGAGAGAGACCGAGAGUCUUCGGGAGAGAAGAAGAAAAAGAAGAGAGAGAGAGAAGGAAAAAAAAAAGAAAGAAAGGAAAAAAAAAAAGGACAGGGGGAGGAGGAGGAGAUAAAAGGGAAAGAGAGAAGGAAAAAAGAGGAGAGAGAGAAAGGGAGACCAAAAAGCUCACACUCAAAGAAAGGAAGAGGAAGAGAGGAGGAGGAAGAAGAAGAAGAAGAAGAAGAAGAAGAAAGAGGGUUUCAUGUGUUUUCAUCAUGGGAGCCUCGCCAAGCCACCUUAACUACGUAACACAAUGCUCGGUAAGAGCUCGUGCCGCCCGUUCAUUCAAUCAGAGUAAUUUCAAACCUGUUGGAGAAAUCUUUCCAGAAUAUUUUGAAGCUGACAAAACGUUUCUAUCAAUCUAGUCUGGAUAAUUGCAGACCUUCUGUUUAGAGUCUAAAGACUUUCAGAUCACCAGACUCAGCACUCAAGACUCAAGACUCAAGACUAUUCUCAUUGACAGUUUUUCUAAUCCAGUGACGAAGGCAAUCCAGAGCCGAAGUAUUUGGUUGAGGAUUUAGUCCUAUCCUUUGGAGAAGAUCUCUUGGCUGGAUAAAUAUAACGGAUUCUCUUAUUCGUAAUCAAGAUCGUUUGAAGAUCCGAUGGUCAACGAAAUAUUCUUGGAAGGUUCUAUUCUUGGAAACCAAGAUCCUGAUUGUAUGGGCGAACAGGAUUGAUGGGCUAUCGUUAAGUUCCUUUAAUAGCUCGAAUGAUCUUCUUGAUUGAUUCCGUCCAACGGGUAGAUUGGAGGAAUUCCUUUGGUAAGUGACAACGAGUAUGAUGGCAUAAAGGAGUAUAAAAGGAAGACAUUCUAGUUACUUUAGUGUAUGAUCGAUAGAGAAAUUCCAGAGUCUGAAGCACCUUGAUUAUUAGUCGAUACAUUUUGAGCGAAGUUGUAUACACAAAGAGUGUCUAUACUUAGUGAUACCUUGAGCUAGUGUGGUAGAUUAUCUACACCAAGAAAUCAAAGGAGAACAACGCCGUAACAUCUCUUUGUUCAUAGUGGAAUCCAGCCAAUAGGCUGUCAGUGCAGAAGAGUGGACGUAGGCUUAAAAUAAGCCGAACCACUAUAAACCGCGUGUUCAAUUUUCUCUUCCCUUCUCUCAGUCUUACUUUGAUUAUUGUUUGUCUCAAAUCUAUCAACUGUCUAGUAUUGUGCAAUUAUCGAGAAAAAUCUUUUAUAUACCUAUUCACCCCCCUCUAGGUACUUAUUCUAACUAUAUCAAUUGGUAUCAGAGCUUGUGUACUCACUUUAUUUGAAGUGUUUUACUUCAGAGUAAAAGAUCCAUGGCUAGUAUGCUAGCACCAGGGCUGGUGGAAGGGCAAAGCAAUACCAAACCACCCUGCUUUGAUGGAAAGGAUUACAACAUCUGGAAGAACAAGAUGAAAGCUUUCCUACGAUCAAAGGAUCCUCUGGAAUGGGACGUUGUAGAAAAAGGAAUUACUCCUACAGCUGCAUCAGUUUCUGAAAGAGGGAAAGAAACUGUUGAGACCAGUGGAAUGACUCAGGAAGAGAUAAUGAAGAGACAAGCACUCGAUGCAAAAGCAAUUUACUCUUUAUAUUGUGCUUUGUCACCAACUGAAUAUAACAGAAUAUCUUCUUGUGUUAUAGCAAAAGAAGUUUGGGGACAGAUUACAUAUCACCUAUGAAGGAACAGAUCGAGUGAAGGAAACCAGAAUUAACAUUCUCGUCGGUCAAUAUGAAGCCUUUAAAAUGAAACCAGGAGAAUCUAUAACUAACAGGUUUAGCCGUUUUACAGAUAUUGUCAAUGGGCUUGAGAAUCAAGGACAAAAAAUUUCUGAUCCCAUGAAGGUAAACAAUCUACUGCGUGGACUCUCCAAGGAUUGAAUCACAUAAAGACUUCAAUAAGAGAGACGCAAAGAAUUAUGCCACUAUCUGUCGAUGAGCUGAUUGGACUCUUCAAUCUUAUGAAGUGGAACGAAUUAAUGAAGACGGAGAUCCAAAAGGUAAGAAAUCUAUUGCNNNNNNNNNNNNNNNNNNNNNNNNNNNNNNNNNNNNNNNNNNNNNNNNNNNNNNNNNNNNNNNNNNNNNNNNNNNNNNNNNNNNNNNNNNNNNNNNNNNNCAAAUGAUGAUUCUGAUGUUACAAUUCUGAAGAUGAUAUGGACGAUGAGGAGCUUGCUCUCAUGAUAAGAAGAUUCAGAAAACUGAAUAGAAAAGGAAGAAGGUUCAACUCAAAGAAACAAAGUUUUCAAAGACAGUAGACCAAGUCUGUUGAUGAUGAGGAAUCAAACAAAGAUGUAGUUUGCUUUGGAUGUAAGAAAAGGGAACACAUCAAACCCAACUGUCCUCUUCUGAAGAAGAAGAAAGGAAAAGCUAAAAAGUCUCGAAAGGCUCUCAAAGCCGAAACCUGGAGUGAUACAGAGUGUGAAGAAAGUGAUGAUGAAUAUGCCAACUUAUGUCUGAUGGCGCGAAUAGACUCAGACUCAAACUCUGGAUCAGACUCAGACUCAGACUCAAACUCUGGAUCAGACUCAAACUCAGACUCAAACUCUGGAUCAGACUCAGACAGUGAAUUUGAGGUAAGUAAUUUUAAAAUUCCUGUCAAGGUUUCUAAGUAUAUUAAUGAGCUGUGUUUUAGUCUUAAGACUUCCCUCAAAAGGAUUUCCGAACUUAAAAAGGAAAACUCUGCUCUAAAACAACAGGAAAAUGUUUUAAAAGAAAGAGUUAAAUGUUUAGACAAGAAUGUUUCCACUCUUAAAGAAAAUGAAGAUAGUCUUUUGAAAGAAAAUGCUCUUUUAAAAACUGACUUAUCAAAUAUUUCAAAGAAAUUUUCAAUAGGGUCCGAGAAACUUGAAAAAAUUCUUUCAGCUCAAAGACCUUACUUCAAUAAGUCUGGUCUAGGUAUGACAGCAGAAACUAUUCCCUUGAUUGAUUUUCCUAAAGUAAAAGAAAGAAUCAAGCAAAGACCCUCGAGAGAGGUUUACAAAAAUCAUUUCAAGAAGGUUUUUGUAAAGUCUGUAGGUCGAAAUGCCCUCAGGUGUUCAAAGUGCAACAGUCCGGAUCACUUUGAAAAAGAGUGUACUAUGGUUUGGAAACCUGUUAAGAAAGUAUGGGCUAAUACUGUUUAUCUUACUAACACCAAAGAACCCAAGAAAAUUUGGGUACCAAAGAAAGUUUGAGACUCUCUUUUAAAUGCAGGUCUCCGUCAAGAAAAAUGUAAAGUGGUAUCUUGACAGUGGAUGCUCAAAAUAUAUGACAGGAGACUCAAAUUGCUUCAUAAAGCUUGUUCAAGUAAAUGGUGGAAAAUUUUCAUUUGGAGGAAACAGCAAAGGAAGUAUUGUGGGAUUUGGAACUGUGAAAAUUGAAAAUCUCACAAUAAGUAAUGUUUCCCUAGUGGAAGGACUCAAUUACAAUCUUCUUAGCAUCAGUCAACUGUGUGAUAUUGAUUUUAAGAUCUUCUUUCAAGAAGGAAUAUGUACUGGAACCAGUAAAGACUCUACUCAGUCUUUCAUGGGUCGAACGCAUGGAAACAUCUAUCUCUUGGAUGUGAAACCGGAUGAAUCACAAUGCUUAAUCUCAAUUCAAGACAAAGCAAGCUUAUGGCACAAAAAGCUUGGUCACAUCAACAUGAAGCAAUUAGCCAAAAUCUCUACAAAACAGCUUGUUCAAGGUCUACCCAAAUUACCAUACCAAAAGUCUGAUCCAUGCACUCCAUGUAUUCUGGAAAAGCAGGUAAGAAAUUCAUUUAAGCCAAUAAAUCAUGUCUCUACUAAUCAUGUACUACAGUUGCUGCAUAUGGAUCUCUUUGGUCCAACCAGAACCCAGAGCAUUAGAGGUAAGAAAUAUUGCCUAGUAAUUGUGGACGAUUACUCCCGAUUUACUUGGGUAUAUUUCCUUGCAAGUAAGUCUGAAACCUUCUCGUAUUUGGAGAAAUUUGCUAAAAAUGUUCAAAAUGAAAAAAGAUGUGUUAUCUCUAGUAUAAGAACAUAUCAUGGAAGUGAAUUUGAAAAUCAAGAUUUUACAAAAUUUUGUGAUAAAUCUGGCUUUAAGCAUGUGUUCUCAUCUCCAUAUACUCCUCAGCAAAAUGGAGUUGUGGAAAGAAAGAAUAGAUCUCUUCAAGAAAUGGCUAGAACUCUUUUAAUUGAAAGUAAGAUUUCUUCACGAUUUUGGGCUGAAGCUAUUUCAACAGCGUGCUAUAUCAUCAAUAGAGUCUUCUUAAGACCUAUUCUAGAGAAAACCCCUUAUGAGUUAUUCAAAGGUAAGAAGCCUAUUGUUUCAUACUUUCAUGUGUUCGGUUGCAAAUGCUUUAUAUUGAAAAAUGCUAAAGAUCGAGUUGGUAAGUUUGAAGAAAGAUCAGAUGAAAGCAUCUUCCUUGGAUAUUCUACAUCAAGCAAAGCCUACAGAGUCUAUAACAAGAAGAGCCAGUCUGUGGAGGAGUCAAUGAAUGUCAAAUUCCAAGACUCUACGCAAGAUGAAUCAAGUCAGACUCAUCAUGAAGAGUCUGAACCUGCUCUAGACCCUCCAAAGCUUACAACUCAAGAAGCAUCUCAGACUCUGGAAGACCAGCAUCAAGCUGUUCGUGAAGAUUCAAAUAAAGAAAGAGAUCAUCAACCAGACAAAUCAAUCAGUAACUGGAAGCAUAAGUCCAGUCAUCCCAAAGAUCUCAUUAUCGGCGAAUUUAAUGAAGGAAUUCGCACCAGAUCCAAAAGACGUGAAGAGUCUAGUGCUGUGGCUCUCAUUUCUGAAAUUGAACCAAAGAGCAUAGAAGAAGCUUUAUCUGAUGAAAGCUGGAUUGAAGCUAUGCAAGAAGAGCUCAGACAGUUCAACAUUAAUGAUGUCUAGGAAUUGACAUCUAAACCAAAAGGUAAAACUGUUAUUGGAGCUAAAUGGGUGUUCAGGAACAAGAUGAAUGAGAAAGGAAAAGUCGUACGAAACAAAGUAAGACUCGUGGCCAAGGGAUAUACGCAAGAAGAAGGAAUAGACUAUGAUGAGACUUACGCUCCAGUAGCAAGGUUAGAAGCUAUUCGAUUAUUACUUGUGUUUGCUUGUUAUAAAAAUUUCAGGUUAUUCCAAAUGGAUGUCAAAAGUGCCUUCCUAAAUGGAUUUAUCCAUGAGGAAGUUUAUGUGGAACAACCACCAGGGUUUGAAGACCCAAAGAAGCCAGACUCAGUCUUCAAACUGAAAAAAGGCCUUAUAUGGUUUAAAGCAAGCACCUCGAGCUUGGUACGACAGACUAAGUAAGUUCUUAAUACAUAAUGGUUUUGUCAAAGGUAAAGUAGAUACUACUUUAUUUAUCAAAAAGGAAAACAAAAGCUUUUUAAUUGUUCAAAUAUAUAUGGAUGAUAUUAUUUUUGGAUCCUCUAAUGAAACUCUAUGCAAGAAAUUUUCUAAGUCUAUGCAGGAUGAGUUUGAAAUGAGUAUGAUGGGAGAGUUAACAUUCUUUCUUGGACUCCAAAUAAAACAAUUGAAGGAAUGAACUUUUAUUCAUCAAGAAAAAUAUACUAAUAAUCUUGUCAAAAAGUUCGGACUGGAAAAGUGCAAAAAGACCGACAUAGCAAUGUCAAGUUCUCUGAAGAUAGACAAAGAUGAAGAAGGGAAGAAAAUUGAUCAAAAGCUGUACAGGAGCAUCAUCGAUUCACUUCUUUAUCUUACUGCUUCUAGACCUGACAUUUUGUUGAGUGUUGCAUCUAUGCUAGGUUUCAAUCAGAUCCUAGAGAAUCCCAUCUCAUGCUGCGAAACGUAUUAUUAAAUACGUUGCUUCAUCUUCAAGCAUAGGUUUUUGGUAUCCUAAGAAGGGAGACUUUAAUCUUCUGGGAUAUUCAGAUGCAGAUCUGCAGGUUGCAGAGUUGACAGAAAGAGCACUUCGGGAACUUGCCAGUUGCUUGGAAGCAGGACAAUGUCUUGGUUUUCAAGGAAACAAAGCACUAUGGCUCUCUCAACAACAGAAGCAGAGUAUGUAGCUCUUGGAAGUUGCUGUUCGCAAAUUCUAUGGAUAAAACAACAGCUACAAGACUUUGGAAUUGAAGACUCAUGCACAGAGAUUAGAUGUGACAACACCAGCGCAAUCAAUCUUACUAAAAAUCCAAUCCUUCACUCAAGAGCAAAGCAUAUAGAGAUUCGACAUCAUUUCAUUAGAAAUCAUGUUCAAAAUGGAGAAAUCUCGAUUCAAUUUGUUGAUUCAAAGAGCCAACUAGCGGAUAUAUUCACAAAGCCUUUGGAGAAAAAUCAAUUCGAUUUUAUCCGUUCCAGACUCAACAUUUUGAAGCUUGAGGAAGUUAAAGUUUAGAGACUCUCAAACCCUCAGACUCAGACAUUCAUGGCUAUAGACUGUAAGUUGUUAUUAUAUUCAAUCUCGAAAAGGUACGAUCAUUAGUUCAGUUAAUUUAUAAUUUCCGUGAAAAACGGAAUCUUGUCUUUUCAAAAAGAUUAACUUAUAUUUGGCAGUUAUCGAUUUCAAAAGAGGCGUCUGUUCAUUUUCCUUUGUGCUGAUUGGUUGUUUCCUUUUUUAAACUGAGUUAUAUAUAUACAGUUUUCCUCGCUUAAACUUCAAAACCCUAAAAAGGCAUUCUCCUACCAAUCCUAUCUCUACUUUGUGUUCAUCUUCGAGAAAUUUGUCAUCUUUUCUUGGGAAAGCGAGUAAAGGAAUCUUUCAACGACAAGGAAGGAUGUCUUCUUCGAGAAAGUCUUCAAGAAUCGCGAACAGGGGACCACAGAGAAUGAGGGAGGGGCCUACCCAUUUCGAUCUCACCAAAGAGGAAGAUUUAUCGAGUCAGCAACAGAGCCCGAUUCACUCUCCACCACGUCACUCUUCAUCAUCUACCCCAAAAGGUGCGGGUCAACAACCGGAGGAAGAAAUAAUCGAGGACGCAGACCCUGUAAGAGUCCAAAAACCCUCUUUUAUUUACAAGCUCUAUCUUGCGUUGAAAAGCACUGGGACUCCACUGAACUAUAUAGAUGAUUUCCUUAAAGAUAAGAAUUAUGGGAAUGAGUAUAUCUUUUUGCGACGAAUGGAGGAUUUGGGAAUUGCUCCCAAAGGAAAGGCUGAGGAAGCACUUGCGAACAUUCCAAGUGACCCUCGUGUAUCGGGACUGAAUCCAACUGACGGGAACGAUGAUGAUAAAAUGUUCCUUGAAUUUCAACCUAGAAUGGGUGUUGCUACGAAGGUGAAGGGAAAAAGGAUGGAUUUGUUUAAAUCGAAGGAACAGGAGAAUCUGUUCUUCAGACUGUUGAAACGAGGGGUGAUAAACCCUAGAAGUGUUGAUUUCGAUUUCUUGGAUGCCAUUAAUGUGAAUUUAAGGGAGAAGUUCAAUCUGCUUCAACUUGAGCAAUUUUACUCCGAUACCACAGACGGUUAUGCGCAAUUGAUAGCAUACUUCUAUUCAAAUCUUAGCUUUUUAGAUGCGAAUAGAAUAUCCUUCAGUGUUCGAGACCACAACUAUGUGGUAGAUGUGGACAUGUUGGCAGAUAUAAUUGGAGUUGAAAGAGGACGAUAUCAACCGAUCAAAGUUUCGAUUGCUCGUACCACACUGGAGCUUGUCAAAGACAGGAUACAGAGGGAAGAAUUACCUACACAAGAAUGCGUGCCAUCAAUAUUUUGCUUCACAAAAUUGUGAUCAACUAUAUCAGGCCAAAGUCUACAUCCCAGACUGACGUGUCUAACUCCGAGGCGAAAUUGAUGUACGCGAUCAAUUCAGGGAAGAAGUUCUCUCUUCCUCACACCAUUCUCUUUCACAUGUACAGAGCAAUGGUGAAGGACAAGGGCCAAUUGCCUUACCCAGGUCUUAUGACCAAGAUCUUCAGACACUUGAACAUUGAACCUCCACAUACUCUUUGUGUUCGACCAUGCGACAAAAUGGUGGUGGGUUUGAAAAUGCUGACAAAAAUGCGUCUGAAAGAGCUUAAUAAGGCAAUGGAGAAGUUCAAAGUGAAGACUCCAGCAUCUUCUGCAUCUAAGAGAAAAGGAAAAGAGCCCAUGGGUGCUCCACCCAAAAAGAAAAUAACUCUUAUCUUGGAGGAUGAAGAUGAAGAGGAAGAUCUCACUAUCUCUGCAUUGAAAAGGACCAGACGUUCUGUACCUGAAUCAAUAGAACGACGGAUGAAAGGAAAAGAAGCAGAGGAAAAAGAACAGAGAGAAGAAAAGGGACAAGCAAAGAACAGAGAAACAGAGGAGCAACAAGAGAAAGAGAAAGAAGACAAAGAGAAAGAAGCUGAAGAAGAAAGAGAAGCAAUGAAAGAAAAGUCUGCAGAUGAAGCCGAAGAAAAAGGGAAUCAAGACGCUGAAGAGCAUGAUAAUCACUCUUCCCCAAUUGAGGUCCUAGAGACAGAGGGAGAUGGCGAGCAAGGAAGGACUACACCAUAUCCUGUCAACAGUGAAGGUGUGAGUCGCUCACCAGCAAAUCCAGAAGAUUUUCAGGCUUCUCAAAUGCCUGCGGAAGGACAUGAUACGUCAACACCAAAUCUGCUCGAUUACACCGAAGUUCCAUCAUCUACCUUCACUCCAUCCAAGAGAGCAAAUGCGAGCACACAGACGAACAAUACAGCAGAUUUUCGUCGUAUCCUUGAUGUUCUUCUAGAAAUGCAGGGUCAAAUCUAUGCUCUGGACUGUGAACUUCAAGUCCUGAAGAAUGCUGGACAAGCAUCUUCUGUUACCCUGGCGGAGCAAAUGAAAGACCUCGCUCUUCAAAUUCAAGCCAAUGCCAAAGGAGAAGAGGUGGCUCAUCUAAGGGAAGACUUGAAGAGGCUGGAAGGCAUCGUACAGUCAAUGGGAGAUUUCCAGAUUGUGCACAUUCCCAAGCAGAUUUGACUCUUUUCUCACCUUUUUAAUGAUGACAAAAAGGGGGAGAAUUGCAAUUUGAACUCUUUAAAACUUUGACUUUAAAUUUCUUUGUGUGUUUGAAUGUUUGUUUUUUAGUAUGACUUGGGUGUGAACUUGAAUUUGACUGACUUGGGUGUGGAUUUUGAUACUUGACUGUUUGCAUUUAUAUCAAGUGUUGUUGUAUGGUUUUAUUCAUGAAAGACUAACCGAUUUUCUGUGGAUGCAGAGUCUGGUUGAUUUUAUUAAUCUUUAUGAGAUAGCCAUAUUGCUUGAGUAAUGUUUUGUAGGUCAAAGUUAUUCAAAUCUACAGGAAAGUUUUGUCACCAUCAAAAAGGGGGAGAUUGUUGGAGAAAUCUUUCCAGAAUAUUUUGAAGCUGACAAAACAUUUCUAUCAGUCUAGUCUGGAUAAUUGCAGACCUUCUGUUUAGAGUCUAAAGACUUUCAGAUCACCAGACUCAGCACUCAAGACUCAAGACUCAAGACUCAAGACUAUUCUCAUUGACAGUUUUUCUAAUCCAGUGACGAAGGCAAUCCAGAGCCGAAGUAUUUGGUUGAGGAUUUAGUCCUAUCCUUUGGAGAAGAUCUCUUGGCUGGAUAAAUAUAACGGAUUCUUUUAUUCGUAAUCAAGAUCGUUUGAAGAUCCGAUGGUCGACGAAAUAUUCUUGGAAGGUUCUAUUCUUGGAAACCAAGAUCCUGAUUGUAUGGGCGAACAGGAUUGAUGGGCUAUCGUCAAGUUCCUUUAAUAGCUCGAAUGAUCUUCUUGAUUGAUUCCGUCCAACGGGUAGAUUGGAGGAAUUCAUUUGGUAAGUGACAACGGGUAUGAUGGCAUAAAGGAGUAUAAAAGGAAGACAUUCUAAUUACUUUAGUGUAUGAUUGAUAGAGAAAUUCCAGAGUCUGAAGCACCUUGAUUAUUAGUCGAUACAUUUUGAGCGAAGUUGUAUACACAAAGAGUAUCUAUACUUAGUGAUACCUUGAGCUAGUGUGGUAGAUUAUCUACACCAAGAAAUCAAGGGAGAACAACGCUGUAACAUCUCUUUGUUCAUAGUGGAAUCCAGCCAAUAGGCUGUCAGUGCAGAAGAGUGGACGUAGGCUUGAAAUAAGCCGAACCACUAUAAACCGCAUGUUCAAUUUUCUCUUCCCUUCUCUCAAUCUUACUUUGAUUAUUGUUUGUCUCAAAUCUAUCAACUGUCUAGUAUUGUGCAAUUAUCGAGAAAAAUCUUUUAUAUACCUAUUUACCCCCCUCUAGGUACUUAUUCUAGCUAUAUCAAAACCUAGGGCUUGAAAUUCGGAAUUUUGGGAAAAUCAAGCAAUGAAGUAUGAUUUUUGAGUCGUUGAACCACGUAUAAAAAAGUUUAUGGUGUUUUGAAGCUAUAGGAUUUUACGAAUCUGAUUUGAGCUUACGGUUUGUCCGAAACAAAAUUUUAAAAUUUAUUGCGAGUGAUGAAUAGUGCGCAACCAAGACUUCGGGGCCAUAUUUUGUUAAUUUUCAGCUUGAUUUCGGGUUGGCUAAAUUAGGAUUCUUAUAGUAUGUUGGAUGGACUUUCCAUUGACUAUAAGUACAUUUAAACAAAGUUCGGUGGAAAAAAUUAUGGCAUGAUAAAGUUCCGUGCUCAAGCUUUGUGCUAUAGACGGCUUCAAGUAAUUCCUUUGGUUGAGCAAUUUAUUGGUGCGUGGGAGUCGUUUUCUAAGCGCUCAUGCUUAGUUUAGUCAAAUCAUAGUCGUUUUCUAAGCGCUCUCAUUGUUUCUCGUUUAUUUGAUAGGAUCGCGAGUUCGACAAUUUGAGUAACGCUUGUUAUUUGAUCAUAAGCAUUUCGAGAUGAGUGGUGCUAUAUCUUCUAAGAAUUUAUAAGCUCAUAUUUUUUAAAUGAUAAAGGAUCGAUAUUUUAUGAGUUAUGAAUAAGUAUAUUUGUUAUAUAAAAUUUAGAUCAGGCAUUUAUUACGCUUUGGUAUUUGAGAAUAGUGUGAGAACUUUUUGGUGGAAAUAUAUAUUAUGUUUGAUGAAUGAAGUUGAAAAAUAUUACAUGUUUUGGGUUUGUGAAACCUUUUUACGAAAAGUUCGACUUUGAGAUGGUUUAUGGAAUGUUAUAUAGAUAUCGAUUUGUGAUAAGCUUUUUGAAAUGUAUUUGAUUUGAUUUGAGUUGUAAAAUUGAUUUAUGAGACGAGUCUUGAAAUUAUUUUAGAAUGUUUUAUGAAAAGUAUUUUUGGCAAAUAAGUUGAAUCGUGAAAUAUUUUGGUGAAUAUGAAAUGAUUUAUGGAUUUGGCUUUGUGUAUUGUGGAUAGUGUUGUUUUGGAUUGGUAUUAAAGCUCAAUAUCAUUGUGAGCCCAGUGAAGGGCUUGUAGGUAUGCACAUACUAGUCUAGAAUAUCUUUGUAGGCCGAGUCACAAACUAAUAAUAGGUGAAGACUUUGCCAAGGGGGGAAUCUUGGUCGCCUCGUCACCAAGCGUUGUAUCGUGACCAUCGUUUGAUAUUGAGCAACGAAUUAGUCAAUAGAAUGGACCAUUGACACAUGAUAUGAGUUUAAUCGAUGAAAUUGACCAUUGAUGUGUAAUUUGAGAUUUGUUGUUGGAAUGGACCAUCAACGUGUAAUUUCAUUAGACCGUUGAUAUGUGGCAUGAGAUUAACCAAUUGAAUGGACCAUUGGCGUGUGAAUUAAUGAGAUUAAUCAAUGGAUUAGACCAUUGAUGGUUAUUUUGAUAUUAUUGUGAAAUGAUUAUUUCUGAUAUUUAAGCGUAUGUACUUAUUCUUUUAGUUUAUGUUUGUUAUAUCAUAGAUUUGAGUUAAGAGAGUUGUAGUUUGAUUUAUAAAUAUGCAUAGUGGGUACUUGAUCCGCUUAGAAAAAAUGCACUAUUUAAUAAGCUACGGUUGCUCACCCCUCUAUUUGCCAAUCUUUUUCAGAUCCCUCAGCUAACAAUGAGUAGUACGAAAGCAAUAUCGACGAGGGGACUUUUAGGAGUUGGAUUUUGGGAGCUUUGGGGCAGCGUUUUUCGAAUGGAAGGACGGCCUUGUCAUCCCCCAUUCAUGAUGGUUUUAGGGUGUGACAGUAAACCCAAUGCAUGUGUGCGAAAGAGCAUGCCUGGACAAGUUCAACCUUAGGAGACUUUGGAGGUAAAUUACAAUAUUUGAAUAAAUGAUACUAACUUGUCAUCUAUAAUUAAUUAAUUAAUUAAUUAUUGAGUGUUACUAUUUUCAAAUUAUGAUUGCGGACUAUAUAAUCAAGCUAUCGUUCAUAAAGAUAAGUUAUUGGUUAUAAAUGAAAACGAAGUUCCCACGAUUAAAUAUAAAUUAUGAUUCAAAUUACGAGACCACUUCUCAACCCUAAAUGCACUCUUUUCAUGUCUAGUCCUACAUGAGAUAAAAAUACGAUAGAUAACAUUUUGAGACAAUUUCAAUUCAACUUUAUCUAAUACUAGCAUGUAAUCUUGCACGAUUCGAGGAUACUUUAAUUCUCCAAAAAAAGAAGUGCAACUUUUUAUAGAACUAAAAACUUGUUCAUACUUCAUACGUAAGCAAGGGUCGCUUAGCAUAGGCACCUGAUGAUAUACAUUACGAUAAUCAAAAUUAAUUAGCUAACAUUAGUCAUGUGUCGAGAUUUCGGUUUCCAAAUCCCUAUAGAUCUUUAUAUACCGUGAUUUCUGUUUUUGACACUGUAUUGUUGUUUCCACGUUCAACAACCUAUAUCUAGAUUGAGCCUAUAUUAUUCUGCUCAAGUCCUGCCUCCAAUUCGUUAUCUAUGUUCCAGGAAACCAGGAAAAGAUAACGAAACAAUUGGACAUGUCUUAGCUGCAACAAAAUAGCACCAAAUUACAUGUCUUAUUCAAUUGGAAUGGACAACAGGGCAGCUCUUUACUUUAAAUGACUCAAUCAGUAACCCAACCCUGUCCCACAGCUCAAAAAUUAACGAUGAGAAUGUAACGAACAGCGUAAUUCUUCUUGGAGAUUGGUGUCGGUAGGGGUGUGCAUUCUUCUUGAGGGAACCGGUCCGGUUCCUGGGUCCAAUUGUUGAGAACCGGUGGGAACCGGUCCGGUUCCCGGUUCCAUGGGCGGAUCCGCCCGCCCACCCACCCGAACCGGACCGGUACUAUUUAUAAUUAAAAACAAAAAAACAAAAAAAAAAACAAAAGUCGCGAACGAAGCCCCCUGCCCCUAAUUCGCGAAGCCCUAAUCACGUUUCUUCUUCUUCAACCUCCGACUCUCUCUGUUCCUUUCCUUCUCUUCGUCUUCGAUUCCACGGUUCCACGGUCCACCCCGAGUAUCCACGCCGCCGCCGCUGCUCCUCCUCCGCCACUGUCCGCCCCCAUCGCGCCGGUCACCACUCGCCAGCGGCCAACCGCUGCUCCUCCGCCUCUGCAAGAACUCUUGACCGAGCCGGCAAGCCCCUUUUCCGUCACUCAACAAGGUAAGAAGCCCUAAUUUGCUUCUCAUCUCUUGAUUCUCUUCCGAUUUCUUCCUCAGUUUUUGAUUAUCUCUCUGUUUCUUCCUCAAUCUCUUCUCCUCGUCUUCGAUUCCUCACCAAGCAUUCACGCCGCCACCGCUGCUCCUCCUCCGCCACUGUCCGCCCCCUCGCGCCGGUCGCCACUCGCCACAGCCGCUGCUCCUCCGCCUCUGCUGUCCGCCCCCCUCGCCAUAAACCCUACAGAGCUCUUGCUUUCCUCACCACCAAACCAAAGGUACAAACGAGUCCGUGCGUGGCAUCUCGUUAUUCUGCUCAAUUUGUCAAUUCCCGUCGUUCUAAAAGUGAGUUCGGUUGUGUUUAGAACUUUAGAUCCACGUAGCAAAUUUGAGGGUCGUGCGAUUUUGGGGUCUCCUGAAUUGAGUUACAAGUUGGUUAUUUUCUAGCGGAAUCUUCUUUUCCAAGUGUUGUUUCAAUUUGGUCUUUCGGUUACUCGGUGGCCAUGGUAAUAGCAUGUGCUGUUGGUGGCAUUCCUUUCCUGACCGUUCCCUUUUCUUUUCUUUUUUUAUUCGCCGGGUUGAUCAAUGUGCAUUGGAAUUUCUCUGUAUAUCGUAUAAUGGAUGUUUGGUCGACUAUUAUGUUCAGUUUGGCAUGGUGGAAUGGAAUGGAAUCGGGAAAUGAUGGGGAAAGGAAUGGGCUAGAGUGAUGAUUCCAAGUCUUGGUUUUUUUCUUGGUGAAUCGUGGGAAACGGAACGGAAUAAAAUCUUUGUGUUUGAGCGUGAUUCUAGAUAAUUUUGUGAGUUUUGAGCUUGUGGUGAUUUGGUAAUGUGGAGAGAUGGUCGCUGUUCACGAGCUUUUGAGAUUUUCUGGUCGAUUGUCACUUGUCAGUGCUUAGUUCAAUUUGCUACAAUUUGAUUUUGUGAUAAUUCUGGGAGUUGUGAGGUUGUAUUGGUUUGUUGAUGGGGUCUAUUUUCAGUUUUGUGAUAAUCCUACAGCACUUCUUUUGUUCGUUUGCCAGCUUUUGGCAGUUUCCGAAAAAAAACAGAGAGUACAUUUUCGGUUUUGUCCACAAAAAAAAAACAGAGAGUACGUUUUCGGUUUUGCAUUUGAGAAAUUGUGAUUGUGCAUUUUCUUAUAUUCUAAGAUUGAUGAUCUAGACCUAAAGAAGUGAUGUAGACUAACCAUAGUGCAUUGCUUGAUUCAGGUGAUUCAUUAACAUGUCAAUGGAAGUAGAGGAAUCUUAUGAUGCAAUAAUACCAAUAGUGGAAUCAACAUCACAAGAACAUGAAGGAGGUGAAAACUUUGAAGAAACAUCAAAAACAAAUCAGGUAUCUGGUUCUUGUCCAUGUCCUCCUAGUAAGCGAAAAUCAGCAGCUUGGCUUCAUUUUCGAAAAGGAAUAACUCACACAAAUGGGAAAGUUGAUGUAUUUUGCAAUUACUGCGGAUCCAAGUAUUCAUACCACGUUGAUAAUGGGACUUCAAAUAUGUUGAAGCACUUGAGAAAGUGCAAUAANNNNNNNNNNNNNNNNNNNNNNNNNNNNNNNNNNNNNNNNNNNNNNNNNNNNNNNNNNNNNNNNNNNNNNNNNNNNNNNNNNNNNNNNNNNNNNNNNNNNNNNNNNNNNNNNNNNNNNNNNNNNNNNNNNNNNNNNNNNNNNNNNNNNNNNNNNNNNNNNNNNNNNNNNNNNNNNNNNNNNNNNNNNNNNNNNNNNNNNNNNNNNNNNNNNNNNNNNNNNNNNNNNNNNNNNNNNNNNNNNNNNNNNNNNNNNNNNNNNNNNNNNNNNNNNNNNNNNNNNNNNNNNNNNNNNNNNNNNNNNNNNNNNNNNNNNNNNNNNNNNNNNNNNNNNNNNNNNNNNNNNNNNNNNNNNNNNNNNNNNNNNNNNNNNNNNNNNNNNNNNNNNNNNNNNNNNNNNNNNNNNNNNNNNNNNNNNNNNNNNNNNNNNNNNNNNNNNNNNNNNNNNNNNNNNNNNNNNNNNNNNNNNNNNNNNNNNNNNNNNNNNNNNNNNNNNNNNNNNNNNNNNNNNNNNNNNNNNNNNNNNNNNNNNNNNNNNNNNNNNNNNNNNNNNNNNNNNNNNNNNNNNNNNNNNNNNNNNNNNNNNNNNNNNNNNNNNNNNNNNNNNNNNNNNNNNNNNNNNNNNNNNNNNNNNNNNNNNNNNNNNNNNNNNNNNNNNNNNNNNNNNNNNNNNNNNNNNNNNNNNNNNNNNNNNNNNNNNNNNNNNNNNNNNNNNNNNNNNNNNNNNNNNNNNNNNNNNNNNNNNNNNNNNNNNNNNNNNNNNNNNNNNNNNNNNNNNNNNNNNNNNNNNNNNNNNNNNNNNNNNNNNNNNNNNNNNNNNNNNNNNNNNNNNNNNNNNNNNNNNNNNNNNNNNNNNNNNNNNNNNNNNNNNNNNNNNNNNNNNNNNNNNNNNNNNNNNNNNNNNNNNNNNNNNNNNNNNNNNNNNNNNNNNNNNNNNNNNNNNNNNNNNNNNNNNNNNNNNNNNNNNNNNNNNNNNNNNNNNNNNNNNNNNNNNNNNNNNNNNNNNNNNNNNNNNNNNNNNNNNNNNNNNNNNNNNNNNNNNNNNNNNNNNNNNNNNNNNNNNNNNNNNNNNNNNNNNNNNNNNNNNNNNNNNNNNNNNNNNNNNNNNNNNNNNNNNNNNNNNNNNNNNNNNNNNNNNNNNNNNNNNNNNNNNNNNNNNNNNNNNNNNNNNNNNNNNNNNNNNNNNNNNNNNNNNNNNNNNNNNNNNNNNNNNNNNNNNNNNNNNNNNNNNNNNNNNNNNNNNNNNNNNNNNNNNNNNNNNNNNNNNNNNNNNNNNNNNNNNNNNNNNNNNNNNNNNNNNNNNNNNNNNNNNNNNNNNNNNNNNNNNNNNNNNNNNNNNNNNNNNNNNNNNNNNNNNNNNNNNNNNNNNNNNNNNNUCUAGGAUCACCCUUACGACUGACACAUGGAGUUCCAUUCAGAAUUUGAACUAUCUAUGCCUUACUGCACAUUUAAUUGAUGAAGAUUGGAAAUUGCACAAAAGGAUCAUCAAUUUUGUGGUAAUAGCUAGUCACAAGGGCAGGGAUAUUGGGAGAGUUAUUGAUAAAUGCAUAUAUGAGUGGGGAAUAGAGAAGAAAGUGUCCACAAUUACAGUGGAUAAUGCUAGUUCAAAUGAUGUGGCCAUUAAUUAUUUGAAAGAAAAAUUUUCAAGAGAGAGGCUAUUGAUCUUAGAUGGUGAAUCUUUACACAUGAGAUGCACGGCUCAUAUAUUAAACUCGAUUGUGAAGGAUGGCUUGGCUGAGAUACGUGAUUCCAUUACACGUAUUCGAAACGUGGUUAGGUAUGUGAGAAGUUCUCCUAUGAGAGCUAAGACAUUUCGAGAUUGCAUUGAAAUUACAAGAAUUGCUUAUAAGGGUUCAGUUUGUCUUGAUGUCCCAACUAGGUGGAAUUCCACUUACCUAAUGUUAGAGAGUGCCAUAAAGCUAAAAAAAGCUUUUGAAAGGAUGGAGGAAGAAGAUGUUUCUUUCUUAACUAAGCUUAAUUCUGAUACUCCAAAUAGCGUUGAUUGGGAAAAUGCUAUUGUUCUUUCUAAUUUUUUGAAGAAGUUUUAUGAUACAACCAAGAAGAUGUCCGGAACUUUGUAUAUCACUUCAAAUGAUUAUUUUGUGGGGAUAGCUUCUUUGUACAAAUAUUUGCGGGAAGCAAUGAAGGCUUUUGAUCAUAGGGUGAGAGUUAUGGGGUUAAAAAUGAAAGAGAAAUUUGACAAAUAUUAUGGAAGUUUUGAAAAAGUCAAUAUGAUGGUAUUGAUUGCGGUAACAUUGGAUCCUAGAAAAAAGCUGAAUUAUGUGAGGUAUUGUUGUAAACUCAUUUAUGAUGAUGCUGCAGAAGUUGAUGAGAUGUUUGAUAAGGUGAAGUUUGCCUUGGAACGUGUGUUUAAAUUUUAUGAGAAAUCUUGUCACACUUCUAGAGACAAAAAUUUGGAUGGUGAAUUGGUAAGUUCUUCUAAUAUCGGUAGUAGCUGCGAUUCUUAUCUCAAUGAGGGAAAUGAAGAGGAUGAUUGCAGCUUAAAUUUCUUUGUGCAAGAGCCUUCGUAUGAUGACUUUCUUAAUGAGGAGAAGAAAAAGUCCGAUAGCAACUUAUCUGAGCUCGAUCGAUAUCUUAAAGCUGAACUUGAAGAUGGUCGCGAUCUUGACAUUUUGAAAUGGUGGAGUGUUGCUGGCCAAAAGUUUAAAAUCUUAUCUUUGAUGGCUCGGGAUAUUUUGUCUAUUCCCGUUACUACCGUUGCUUCAGAAUCAACUUUCAGUACUUCUGGUCGUGUGCUUGAUGGUUUUCGGAGUUCUUUGACUCCUAGAGUUGUGGAAGCUUUGAUUUGUACUCAAGAUUGGUUGAGAGCAAUUCGUGAUCCGAUUAAUGUUGAAGAAUGUAUUGAAAAUGCGGAAAAGUUUGAAUUUGGUAAGUCCAUAUCAUUUCAUAAUGUAAUUUUUUUGUAUAUCUAUUAUCUAAGAAUUGAAUUCUUUAUUUAAUAUCUUCUUUUUGUUAGAUAUGGAUGACGUUGGCAAGGAGAUUAACAAGGAGAUUGACGGUCCAUAGAGUUUACAAGUUGAAGUGGGAGGAAUCUAUGAGUCAUCUUGAAGGUUUUUUCCCCCACCUCACUAUUUUAUCUAUUUCUUUGCAAGAUGGGAGAUUUCUCUUUCUUCCCCAUAUAUAAAAACGUACAUUUGCUUUUGUUCAUGGGUUGUGUGCCGUAUUGGGAGAUCAUGAGCAUGUGCGGAGGUGGUGGAUGUGGUGUGGGGUGUGAGGAACAAGGUAAUGGCGUGUCGGCUAGCUCAAAAGGUGUCGUCGCAUCACGAAAGAUAAUUGAAGUAGCCUCAAUUGGAACUUGGUUUUGCUGUCCCUUGUUCUAUCUCUUUCUCUUUGCUUUUUUUCUUUCCCUUUUGCUCAUUUUAUUAUUGUUUUCAUUAUUUUCUUUCGAAAGAAUUCAUGGUGGAUAAUGAGCUUGAGAGGGAGGACUAAUGCAAAAGAAAUUCGUCUAUUAUUCAUCUAUUAAUUAUUGUUUUAGUUUUUGGAGAUUGGAACUUGGAAUUUUAGAGCUCAAAACUUCCGGACCGGCGGUCCGGGAAACCAAAAUUGUUUCGCUCUUGAAAACCAGAAUUUUUGGCGUCAAAAUCGGUUCCAUGGAUCCACCCGGGAACCGGACCGGACCGGCAGUCCGGUUCCCGGGUGGAUCCUGGUUCCGAUUUUUUGGAACCGGUCCUUAGCGGGCGGUUCCCGGUUCUAGGUCGGGAACCGCCCGCCCGGACCAUGCACACCCCUAGGUGUCGGGCCGAGUGCCACAUGAACAAAUUCUUGACAGCAAUAGGAAUGAGCUUUUGCUGACGUUCAAAGCCUGAGCAUGAAGAGAAACAAAAGAUCCCGGACUCCUGAAGAGCUACGGACUUCUUUUGGUAAGCCUCAGAUUGCUAACAAAAUUGAGGAUUAGCCAUCGAAAUCUAAAAACCGUUCCCCUCUUAAAGAAAAUGUAAUCACAACAUCUCAAUUUAGAAGUUGAUGCACCCAAUGAUAGAUGCGUACGAAUAUUCCAAAGAGCUUACAAUAAAACACAACACCUAGUUACUACCGGGUACAAUGGAAAAGAACAUUCAACAUUCAAAGCCCGAGAUUAAUCCCAAGAAGCAACAGACUUUGAUCCCAUCACAUGAAGUCCAAACAACAUAACAAAUAAAUUCAAGCAUUCGGUAGUAUUCUAUUGACACUGGCAGCUUCUAUUGAUUGUAGUACUUCCACGACUUCAGACAUGGACGGGCGCAGCUUACGAGUUAGAUUGAGGCAUAUUAAAGCUAGUUGUGCUAUUUGGAAUGCAAAUUCUUCACAAUGUUCACCCUUCAAUCUCGAGUCCAUUAUAGUACUCAGUUUUCCCUCACUGUGUAAGUGUGGUAGGGCCCACUUCACUAAAGUAGCCAGGCCCAUUGGAGACCGUGGGUUACGCGCCCUCAAACCUGUUAGUAUCUCAAGCAGCACAACGCCGAAACUAUAAACAUCACUCUUUACAGUGAGAUGUCCUGUAAAAUCCAAGAGUCAUAUGUGAUGUUGCAGCGAAACGUGGGAAAAUAAAUAACUUCCCCAUAUUACUCUCAAAAUUCAAGAUCGCGCAAUAGUCAGCACUAAGUCACCAAAAAGCACUUUACAAUGGAAAAAUUACCGGUUGUUUUGUAUUCAGGGGCAGCAUAGCCAUCGGUACCAAUAAACUGUGUUGAAACAUGUGUCUUGUCGUCUAGAGGACCAGACCUCACCAAUCCAAAGUCCGAGAGUUUGGCCGUGUAAGACUGCAGAAGAACCGGACAGUGGAUUAGACUCGGUUUCCAGCCUAACUAUCAAUUGCAAACUCUAGUAAAUCUAGCAAAAAACAAAAUGGAGAUAUCUAAAAGCAACUGGGGACUGGUUAAGGGUCUUGUCUCGGGUUCUGAACUCAACAUCAAAUCUAAGAAUGAUAAAUUUGCAAUCGACUAUAACCCGUCCAUCAGUUGAGCAAAGGCAAACAUAGGAUCUCCGCUCGCUAUUAUGACUCUUUUCUCAUGGUUAGAGGACAAAAUAUCAAGUCUUCAAAGGGAGAUACGAGGCAUUUUAACGUUAUCAUUAUCCUUCUCCAAAGAAUUUGACUAGAAUGAUAAUAGAUUUCAUAUGAAUUUUGUGAUACAGGACCAUAAUCAUUAUAAGAAGGAUAAAUAAUAACCCCAUCUAGCAAAUAUUUGCACUUUUAAAAUCCCUGUGUAUCACGUUAGAACUGUGCAAGAAGGCCAAGCCUUUGGCAGCUCCUACCGCAAUCUUGAGGCGUACAUCCCAUGAAAGAUGAUCUGUAGAGCCCUCUGUACCAGAGUAAUGACAAUGUAAAAUGUAAGUAAUUCUUAAAAAGCAAAUACGUGUUCAAACCAGCCUGAAAUUUGAAAUUAGCACAUACAUCGACUAUGACUAUAAACUGAUCAAGAAGAUAUGGUAAACAAUUGGCAUCCUUAAGGAGACUUUUCCGAAAUUUACUGAGUGGUUACCACUUACUUCCGAAUAGCUGGUUUUCCAAACUGCCCAUUGGCAUGAACUCAUAAACAAGAGCUAAAUUUUCAUCGUCGUGACAAAAUCCCAGGAGAAUGAUAAGGUUAGGGUGAGAUAUCCUUCCAAUAAAGGCUAUCUUGCUCUGCACGAAAAUAAGCAAAAGAGUCUCACGCGUGGUCAGUAGUAAAAGAUAUGAAAGAAAUGGAAGCCCCCACACUAAACCAGGUAGAUGUUUUUCUCCUUAAGCUUCAAAUGGUCAAAGAAACGAAACAAUCACAACGGAAUAGUUGAUAUCGAAACAAAAGGUACAUAAUGGGAACUAACACCUAAUUUCCAAUGAAAUGUUCAGUUUAACUAGUAGUUUGUAGGGGUGAGCAUCGGUCCAAGGUCAACCCUGGACCGACCCUGGAUCGGUCCAACCUUGCCGGUCCUGGUCUGAUUCCCAAGGAGACUGGGUCGGUCAUUGAUCCUAGAAUUCCUGAACUAGCACUGUGCAGGUCGAUCCUCGAUCCUGAGAGUUCAGGUCGGUCCAACCUUGACUAUAUAUAUAUAUAUAUAUAUAUAUAGAAAACCUUAAAAUAAACGGCAUCAACAUUAAACAACUCUUUAGUGAGGAGUUCAAGUAAUUUUAAAUUUUUUCUUUAAUAACUUAGGUUUUUAAUGUUUUUUACGAUGUCAAUAGUCAUAAUUUACGAAGGAGGAAAAUAUUUUUGUGAGAAGUCCUCAUGACGUUCAAAAAGGCACCUUAUGGCAUCCUCCUUUAGUCUUCGUUCUCUUCUAUCUUAUUUGUCCCCUUAGUCUUCAAUUUUCAAAAAUCGAAAAAAAAAAUUCUACACUCGCCACUCAACGCUUGCCUCACUCGCUUUAGGUCACUCGUGCCUCUCGCCGCUCAAUGCUUGCUUGGUUUAUUGCUCCCUGCUUGACAUUCGAUACUCAUUCUGUUCGACACUCAUUCCACUCGACCCUCACUGCUUGCCUUUCUUAACUGACCUCACUCAUCAUUAAACCCAUUGAGUCAUACGAUCCCCGGUUGCCCUUUUCAAUAAGUACAAAAAAUGAAAUAAAAAAUUAUUUGUUGGUCUUGGGUUGACCUUAAAAUCAGAUCGAACCCAUUGGGUUAGUUCGGUCCUCAAUCGCUUUUUUAAGGAGUACAAAAAAUGAAAUAAAAAAUUAUCAGUUCGUUCGGGGUUGACCCUGGAAUCGGACCGAACCCAUUUGGUCGAUCCGGUCCUCGGUCCCAAGCCCAAUAAGGUCAAUCCUCGAUCCCAAAAAUUGAGAACCAGUACUGUGCGGGUUGGUCUUAGGGUUAAGGAGUGGACCGGCUCAAUCCAGACCAUACUCACCCCUAGUAAUUUGAUUGAAGACUCAUGGUCAUUGUACAUCCUGUAAUAUAAAAUACAUAUCAAUAUUUGGUAAAAUGUACUCAAGUCAUACCAGCACUGUAGAAAAUAUCUAGUUUGCAUGAACCAGUAGUAGCUAUGUAGAAUCAUUGGAAUUUGCGACUGAAAACCGUUUAUUAUUUGCGACCAAACUGAUGACUUUAUCUUGCAGUGGUGUGUCCACCCUAUAUGGUUUGAUCAACCUUGCAAUUUCUUUCAGUUCUUGAAUAUAGAAGCAGAAUUCGCUCGAAGGAAAAAGAAAACAAGUUCACUAUGAAAAGAACCGCAUUGCAUUAGUCAAAGAAGGUUAGAAAGAUGAAGUUGCCUAGGGGCUAUGAUCACAUUGAAAAGGUUGAUCAUUACAUGGAUGGAAGACUCUGAACUUAUAUUUGCGCAAUUUCUUCAUUCCUUGCAAUCGAAUCGCACUUACUAGGUUCUUCCAAUAGUUAGCAUCAUACAAGCCAAUGGCUACACACUCGCGCGGCAUGGGUUUACUAAGUCAAUUACAAAAUAUAAGAAAUGCAAAAAGAAAGUUCAUCACCGCUAACUAAAUGGAGCCCUAAAAUGUAUUUUGCCGAGGACCAUAGUCACCAAAUAAUCUCAAGAACAAAACCAAAAGCGUAUUUUCAAUUGUAAAUAAAUCGUUGAUCUUUCCUUUCUAUCGGAAUGAUUGAAGCAAAAUCGCUUCUUAGAUUCUUAUUUUACUUCAUUUAAAUCCAAAUAAUGCGCAUUAUCUCCACUCAAGUGGGGGGUUAGAUAACUGAAAACUUCACGAGGAUCGUGAACAUACGUUUAGGUAAUAUCACCACACAAUUAACACUACUCAGUCGGGCACCAACAAUAGUGUUGCUACGCCCACUGCAUCAUUUGCACCUACAUGCGAUAAGCAUCAUGACUCUCAGAAUUAUCUGAUCUCUCUAUAACCAAAAUCAGAUGCAAUCCUACAAGCGCCCUUUCAGAAACAAAAUUGGAAGGCAAGGCCACCGCUUAUAGAAAUCCUGGGAUAAUCAACUUCAAAUACAUUUGGAUUUGCGUUUAUAUAGCCAUAUAAAUUCAGGUUGUCUAGUAUUUCUGCUUCUACCAUUUUCACAACGAGGAGAUUUAUUGACAUAACUAAGUUGGGUAUGAUAAGCUCCCAUCAGUAAAAGUACCAAAAAAGUCUUAAACCUAUUUAUUGGUACCAAUACAGCCUUAAAUCUUUCAAUUAGACCAAUUUAUUUCUAAAUCUUUUCACAUUAGUAUCAAUUCAAUCCAUCCAGCUAAUUUGGGCCAGAAAUCAGUGCGUAGACACUAGCGAUCGUACGUUGCAUCGCCAGCACUAACGUGAACAUUUUAAAAAUAUUAUUUAUUAAAUUAUUUAUUUAUAUUUAUAUUUUUUUUCCUUUUUUCUUAUUGUUCCUUUUUUUUCUUUCCUUUUUUUUUUUUUCCUUUCUUUGGACUGUGACCGGUACCAGCCAUGAUCGGCGACGACUGGCCACAGCAAGGGCUGGCAAGGGUGUCAUGGCCCUCACUGGCCACGGGCGAGGGUGAGACCCUUGCGGCCCUCACCAAGUCUGGCAAGGGCUCGACCCUCACCGGAUCUAGCGACGGUGAGACCCUCGCAACCUGGGCGAGGGUGGCUCUUGCCUAACUCGGUGGGGGCGGCAAGGGCUCAAUGCCCUCAUCAGCCCCCACUUGUGGCCGAUCGCCGACAAUGGCCAAUACCGGCCACAGUCCAAAGAAAGGAAAAAAAAUUACUAAAAAAUUAUUUUAAAAUGUUGACAUCAGCAUCGGCGAUACAUAGGAUCAUCGGCAUCCAUGUCACAUAUUUCCGGCCUAAAUUGCCGGAUGAACUGUUGGUACCAAUCUAAAAAUGUUUAUGACUAAAUUGGUCAAAUUGACAGGUUUUGGACUGAAUUAGUACUAAUGCAAUAAAUUUAGAACUUUUUAGGUACUUAUCCCAGCUCCCAUUAGUACCAUCAUGCAUUUGGGUUGCUUCAUUUUCGUAAUUGACAAAGCAAAGUACUUAUAUUCCGAGAAAGGAAUUGAAGACGACUUAGUUCUUACCAGCCACUCUCUAUACCCUUGAGCACCAUCCGGGUUUAAUAUUUUCACAGCUAUUAUAGUUUCUGUCCUUCCAGACUGUUGCUUCCCAUGAAGCGUCCCUCUAUAGACAACCAAAUCCUCCCUCUCCAAGCAGCGCAUCGGCUCGAAAAUUUUUGGUUGCCUCUUUCAACUCUGCGAAACUGAAGACGGUCAAGCUGGGGUCUGCCUCAAUCUUUCCAUCUCCGAAGGCCUUUUUGUCGCGGGCAGCUAGCAAGUCAUGGCUAUUGCUGGCUGCAGGAGAUAUGAAGUUGUGAUUUUCCACUUCGAUCCUGUAGUUUCAAAAAAGAAAAACAAAGAACACAGAAAAUUGCUUCAGACGAUAACAAGAAGAACAUUAACGACUCCGAUCUGAAGCACAAAGAUUCAUUUUAUAGAGACUACAUAGAUGUAAAGAUAAAGAUCACUUUAGGAAAAAAAUUGAAGGGUACCCGAUUUGAGAUGACCAGCAUAGCUAGGAGUAGGGAAGUCAGGGGUACCAAAGCACACCCCCAUCUCUCUCUCUCUCAACGGGCUGGAGCUUCCAUGUCGCACACGACACGUAUCGACGUGUCAGACAUGCGGUCAAUACGUGUCGAAUUUUCCGACACAUGUUCAACUCUUCUCGACAUGUUCCGACACAUGUAUCCAAUAGAGAGGAUCAUUGAAGAAGACCAUGGAGGGUGGAGGCGAGGCGAAGGAGCGGAGGCAAGGCUGUGACGGUAAGGGAGUGGCACAGAAAGUGCAAAGAUUGAGCCACGACUGUGAUGGAAGGCCAGAGGCGAGGCGAUGAGUGAUUGUGAUGAGGCGACGGAGAGAGAACAGAGAUCGAGAGAGAGAGGGUCGCGCGAGGAGGAGGAGGCAGAGGGUUUAGAGGGACGAAACUCAAAAAGUUAAAAUGGGAUUUGAUGGGACUUUGGCGUGAUCCUUUCUUUCUAGAGGGAAGGGAAGUGCAUUGGACAAGAGGUCAAUUUUGAAGAAAGAAGUGACAAGUUAAGGAGUACAGGGAGAAGAAACGGGGGGAAAAUUGAGAAACAGGGAAGUGGAAUAAAUUUGGGGGUGGACCCCGAGGGACUUUUUUAUCAAAAAAAUAGAUAAGAAGACUACGAAAUCAUUUCAAAAAAUAGAAGUAUUGAAUGUUGAAUAAUUAUAAAUAAAAAAUCAUUAAAAAAUAGAUUUAUUUAAAUAAGUUAAUUUUAAUUUGUUUUUUUUUUUGUAAUAGGUAAAAUGUAUUAUAACUUUUAACCAAGGAGCUACACAAAGGCACAGCAAAAGAACCGACUCCAAAAACAUACACUUAGCUACACAAAGGUAAUUUUAAUUUGUUGUUAGUCAUUAGUUUUAUCAAUAAUUUUUACUAGAGUUAGAAACAUAUCCACAAACAUGAAUACACAUUAUUUAUGAAUAUCUUUCGAAUUUCUUAUAAAUAAAUUUAUUAAUAUUAUUAAUAUAAAUUUAUUGUAAUCUCUUUUUUAUUAUUUAUUUAAUUAUAAAACUAAAUUAAAUUAAUUAAAAAAUAAAAAUAUUAUAUUUAAUAUAUAAUAUAUCUCAACAUGUUAAAAUUUUUUAUUUUUAAAUAAUAAUUUAUUGGCAUAUCAUAACGUGUUUUUUCUUCUCCCUUGCCUUUACAAAGUCUCAUUUCUUCGGAAGUUGAGGCAAUUGACUUUUUUUCCGUACAGACAUGGCAAAUCACCCAAACGCGCUCGAUGCUGACAUUUUCUGGCCCGUCAUUAACUCUCUGCGGAAAGUCAAAGCUGGCUCCGCACGUCGUUUUCACACUAGUUGAUUUUCUUGUUUUUCCAUGGCAGAUCCCACGAAUUUCCACAGCAAAUCCCCUCUCAGUGGAAAGUCAAAUUUCCACAAAUUUCCACACUCGGGGGACUUUUAUAUGUAGGAAAAAUGCUGAUAAGAACAAAUAAAUUUGUUUGAAGCGUGCAAACGUAAGCACUGUCCUUAAGGAUAAUUCCGCCCCUCGGAGUGCGAAACUCGGUGAUAGGCUUCUGACGGCUAUCCUCCCAAGAUACAACAGACCUUCUUCUAUAUUCCGCACUGAAUAUUAGAAGGAACAGAAACAACAUCUGUAUAUAACCCAGCAUGAAAAAGGAAAGGAAAGAUUUCAAAAAGAAAGAAUAUUCUUUGUUUCAUUCGGUGUGUAUUUUUAAGAUUGUCUUAUGAGAUUUUAUAUUCAGACAAAAUAGAGCCGUUAAAAGAGCUAUUGUAAAAUAAUGAAGAAUUUAUUUGAGAAAUAAAUUAAAUGUUACAAACGGUUGAAAAGCCAUUAUAUGACCAUUAAAAAACCGUUAUGUGACCGUUAAAAAUAAUAAUAGUCUUCAAUGUGGUCAUAACUAUUAUUGAAGUUAUUAUUGUUAUUUCAAAAUAUUAUUGAAAUAUCCAACAAUCCCCCACAUAUUUCAAAAGAUUUUAAAAAUAAAAUUAACAUGAUGCUUGGUUAUUGGAGUGUAAUGCAUCGGAACUGGUGCUUGUUAGGCUAUGAACCAGCCCUAUAAAAAAUGAAAUAUAAUUCACGAAAUUAUUAGUGAAGUUUGAAACUUCUAUGAACCAAAAAUUUCUUUUGUGAAUUAUAAUUUUCACCAAUCACAUUGCACUCCCACAAACUUUGUUGUUCAACGCGGUUUUGCGCUAAUAGGCCAUGCGUGUGCUUGGUUUAUUCAUAAGUGCUUUAGAAAUUUUCACCAAAAAUUCUCAUAGGAGUGGCCCCACUCCACACUUAUAUAGGUGAUUCCAUCAAGUGUAUUAUGCAGCUUAAUACACCACCAAUAAUGGCUAUGGAAUUUCAUUAAGAGCUUAGCUCAACCUCUUUUUUCCUUGCAGUUUUGCACCAUUCUCAUUUUAGGAUGGAUAAUAAUUUUUAAUAGUGCAUCACUAGAACAACAAGUGACUUGUUAUUACCCAUAUGAACCUAAUUCAUGGGAUUGCCAAUCACAUAGGUUGGGUUACCAUCACUGUUACUUUUCCUCAAUUGGCUUAAGUCACAUUCCCCUCGAUGUGUCAUAAAUUAAUUUUCUUCCCACAGGUUUACUCAGAAGAUCGGCUAAAUUCACUUCUGAAUUUACAAAAUCGAUAGAUAUAAUUCCAUCUUUAAGCAGCUACUUUACUACAUCAUGUCUCAGUCGGAUGUGUCUAUUUUUACCAUUGAAAUUGUUAUUCUUUGCUAUGGCUAUUGCCGCUUGGCAAUCAUAGUGCAUAGACACAGAAAGGUGUCGGUUUCAUUCCCAAAGAAAUAUCCGCUAAGAGGUUCCUUAACCACUCACUCUAGAGCCACAAACUCUAACUCCAUGGUGGAUUUAGCAAUUAUUGUUUGUUUGGCUGACUUCCAAGUUACAGCACCUCCACCAAAGGUAAACACAUAUCCACUAGUGGAUUUUGUCUCAUCUGAAUCUGAAAUCCAAUUAGCAUCACUGUAUCCUUCUAAUACAGCGGGAAAUCCACUAUAUAAGAUGCCAUAAUUCAUGGUUCCUCUCAAAUAUUUCAUUAAUCUAUUCAAAGCAGUCCAGUGAUAUUUGUGUAUAUCUGCUCAAUCUACAUACAACAUAAGCUAUAUCAGGUCGAGUAUAAUUCAUCAAAUGCAUCAAACCCCCAAUAAUUUGAGCAUACUUAGACUAAGUCACACCAUCUCCUUUAUUUUUCAUUAAUUGGAUAUUAGAAUCAUAAGGAGUAUUCACAGGUUUAACAUCAAAGUGAUCAUAUUUUUUAAGUAGCCUCUCCACAUAAUACGCUUGAGUAAGCAUUAGGCCACUAUCACUCUUUAUGAUUCUAACACCCAAAAUAAUAUUAGCUUCCCCCAAGUCCUUUAUAUGGAAUUUAGAAGUUAAAAAACAUUUUGUUUCAUUCACUACAUCAAUACAUGUACCAAAAAUAAGCAUGUCAUCAACAUAUAAGCUAAUAAUUACAAAUUCACCAUCAAUAGUUUUUGUGUAUACACAUUUAUCUACUCCAAUAGAGAAAAAUCCAUUACUAACUAGAACAUCAUUAAUUUCUCAUACCAUUGCUUUGGCGCUUGCUUUAAGCCGUAUAAAGAUUUAACAAGUUUACAAACUUUAUUUUCUUGGCCAGGAAAAAUACAGCCCUCAGGUUGCACCAUGUAAAUUUCCUCUUCCAAAUCACCAUUUAAAAAAGCUGUUUUAACAUCCAUUUGGUGAAUAAUAAGUUUGUAAAUAGAAGUCAAAGCAAUUAAAACACGAAUUGAUGAAAUUCUUGUAACUGGAGCAAAAGUGUCAAAAAAAUCAAAAUUUUAUUUUUGAGUAAAACCUUUUGCAACUAAUCUUGCUUUAUAUUUAUCAAUAGAACCAUCAGGAUUAUAUUUUCUUUUAAAAAUCCAUUUACAACCGAUCAGUUUCGCACCGAAUGGUAAAUCAACUAAUUUCCAAGUUUGAUUUUGUAAGAUAGAAUCAAUCUCGAUUUUUAUAGCUUCUUUCCAAAAAUUGCUUUCUGAUGAAGAUAUUGCUUCAGAAUAAGUCAAAGGAUCAUUAUCAAUAAGAUAAGUAUAAAAAUCAUUCCAAAAAAAAGUUUCUUUCCUUAUUCUUUUGCUCCUUCUCAAUUCGUCAUUUGAAUUUUUGAAAGACGGUACUUGUCAGUUCUGUUUGAGAUCUUUCGCANNNNNNNNNNNNNNNNNNNNNNNNNNNNNNNNNNNNNNNNNNNNNNNNNNNNNNNNNNNNNNNNNNNNNNNNNNNNNNNNNNNNNNNNNNNNNNNNNNNNUUUUUCAUUUGCAUUGGCUAUAACCCGUCCAUCAGUUGAGCAGAGGGAAACAUAGGAUCUCCUAUCGCUAUUAUGACUCUUUUCUCCCAUUUAGAGGACAAAAGAUCAAGUCAUCAAAGUGAGAUACUAGGCUUUUCAUCGUCAUCAUUAUCCUUCUCCCAAGAAUUUGACUAGAAUGAUAAUAGAGUUCAUAUGAAUUUUGUGAUACAAGACCAUAAUAAUUAUAAGGAGGAUUAAAUAAUAACCUGAUCUAGCAAAAUAUUUGCAGGUUUGAUAUCCCUGUGUAUCAUGUUACAGGAACUGUGCAAGAAGGCCAGGCCUCGGGCAGCCCCGACCAUAACCUUGAGGCGUACAUUCCAUGGAAGACUUCCAGCGGAGCCCCCUGUACCAGAGUAAUGGACAGUUUAAAACGCGAGUCAUGCUUCAAUGCAAGUACAUGUUCAAACCAGCCUGAAUUUUGAAAUUAGCACAAGCAUCGACUAUAACUAUCAACUGAUCAAGCGGAUAUGCUAAACAAUGGGCAUCCUUAAGGAGACUUUUCCGAAAUUUACAAAGUGAUUAGACCACGUACUUCUGAAUAGCUGGUUUUCCAGACUGCCCAUUGGCAUGAACUCAUAAACAAGAGCUAAAUUUUGAUCGUCGUGACAAUAUCCUAGGAGCUUGGCAAGGUUAGGGUGAGAUAUCUUUUCAAUAAAGGCUAUCUCCCUCUGCACAAAAAUAAGCAAAAGAGUCUCACACAUGGUCAAUAGUGAAAGAUAUGAAAGAAAUGGAAGCCCCCACACUAAACCAGGUAGAUGUUUCUCUCCUUAAGCUUCAAAUGGUCAAAGAAAUGAAACAAUCACGAUGGAAUAGUUGAUAUCGAAACAAAAGGUAUAGAAUGGGAACUGAGACCUAAUUUCCAAAGAAAUAUUCAGUUUAACUAGUAGUUUGACUGAAGACUCAUGGUCAUUGUGCAUCAUGUAAUAUAAAAUACAUAUCAAUAUUGGUAAAAUGUACUUCAAGUCAUUCUAGCUUUGUAGAAAAAAUCUAGCUCGCCAUGAACCAGUAGUAGCGAUGCAGAAUCAUUGGAAUUUGUAACUGAAACCAUUUAUAAUUUGCGAUCAAACUGGUGACUUUAUGUUGUAGUGGCGUAUCCACCCUAUAUGGUUUUAUAAGCCUUGCAAUUUGUUUCAGUUCUUGAAUAUAUAAGGAGAAUUCGCUCGAAGGAAGAAGAAAACAAGUUCACUAUGAAAAGAACCGCUUUGCAUUAGUCAAAGAAGGUUGGAAAGACGAGUUGCCUGAGGGCUAUGAUCACAUCGAAAAGGUUGAUCAUUACAUGGAUGGAAGACUUUGAACUUAUAUUUGCGCAAUUUCUUCAUUCCUUGCAAUCGAAUUACACUUAGUAGCUUCUUCCAAUGGUUAGCAUCAUACAAGCCAAUGGCCACACACACUCCAUGACAUGGGUUUACUAAGUCAAUUACAAAAUAAAAGAAAUGCAAAAAAUAAAGUUCAUGACCGUUAACUAAAUGGAGCCCUAAAAUCUAUUUUGCUGAGGACCUUAGUGACCAAAUAAUCUCAAGAACAAAAUCACUUCUCAGAUUCUUCUUUUACUUCGUUUAAAUUCAAAUAAUGCACAUUGUAUACACUAAAGUGGGGGGUUAGAUAACUGCAAACUUCACGAGGAUCUUGAACAUACGUUUAGGUAAUAUCACCAAACAAUUAACGCUACUCAGUCACGCACAAACAAUAGUGUUGUCUGCUGCAUUGCACCCCAGCAAAGCCGAUGAGGCCGUCAAUGAACUCUCAGAAAUAUCUGAUCUCUCUAUAACCAAAAUCAGAUGCAACCCACAAGGGUCCUUUCAGAAACAAAACUAAAAGGCCAGGCGACCACUUAAAGAAAUGCUGGGAUAAUCAACUUCAAAUACAUUUGGAUUUGCGUUUACAUAGCCAUCAUAAUUCAGAUUGUCCAGUAUUUCUCCUGCUAUUUUCACAACGAGGGUGUUUAUUGACACAGUUGAGUUGGGCAUGACAAGCUCCCAUCAGUACCAUCAUGCAUUUGGGUUACUUCGGUUUUGUAAUUGACAAAACAAAGUACUUGUACUCCGAGAAAGGAAUUGAAGACGACUUAGUUCUUACCUGCCACUCUCUAUACCCUCGAGUGCCGCCCUGGUUUAAUAUUUUCACAGCUAUUAUAGUCCAUGUAUUUCCAGACUGUUGCUUCCCAUGAAGCAUCCCUUUAUAGACACGACCAAAUCCUCCCUCUCCAAGCAGCGCAUUGUCCGGAAAAUUUUUGGUCGCCUCAUUCAACUCUGCGAAACUGAAGAUGGUCAAGCCGCGGUCUGCCUCAAUCUUUCCAUCUCCGAAGGCCUUUUUGUCGCGGGCAGCCAGCAAGUCAUGGCUAUUGCUGGCUGCAGAAGAUGAGGAAGUAGCGUGGGCAGCCGGCAAAUUGUUGCUGGCUGCAGAAGAUGAUGAAUUAGUGACUUCCCACUUCGCUCCUGUAGUUUCAAAAACGGAAAGCAAAGGAACAGAGAAAAUUGCUUCAGAUGACAACAAGAAGAACAUUAAAGACGCCAAUCUGAAGCACAAAGUCUAAUUUUAUAGACUACAUAGAUGUACAGACAAGGAUAAAUGUAGGAAAAAUUUAAAGAGUACCUGAUUUGAGAUGACCAGUAUAGCUAGGAGUAGGGAAGUCAGGAGUACCAAAACACACCCCCAUCUCUCUCUGUCUCUCUCAACAAGAACUUCUGUCUUUUCGCUACCUCGCCUCCUCCAACUCCAAAUCUUGUUUGCUCUGGAGAGGUGAAAACACCUAAAAAGGCUCUCGCUGCUGACAUUUUCUGUCAUUUUCCACACCAGUUGAUUUUCUUAAUGCCCAAAGCAGGUCCCACAAUUCCAACGCGUUCAUAUAUUGACCUCCGAGAGACUUUUACCGUAAUAUUUGACGUUUCAAAGGUGGUGGGACCCACACGAAAAAAUAAAUAAAGAAAAAGGAGAAGGAAAGCAGAAAUAGGGCACGCCCGGUUUUAAAACAAACUCCAUUCAGUAGAAUUUAGAAAUCCAUAAAGUCGAUCGAGAAGAAGCUUCCUCUUCUUUUCUGCCGACUCUGCCCUGCUUACGCCGGAAUAAAAAGUCUAUCCUUUUUUCAUCAGAGUCGACCAAUUUGGAAAGAUCAUGCAAAUCAUUUGGUGGAGAUGUCAAAUGUCUGUGGAAGGGAUUUACACCGCACUCCGCGUUAAUUCUGUUCUCUUAGGUAUCUUUCUUCGCAAUCCGACAACCGAGCCAGAGUCCUUCAUGGAACUAGUUUGCUGCCAGCUUAGCUGGCAAAUAGUCCUUAUGAAGCCAAGAGGGGAAUUGAUUCCAUCAUCCGCUUUCGUGCGCUUAAGUCAGGUUUUUGCUUUCUUGCAGUGUAUCCAUCCAUUCACAAACAUUCCCAAAGCAGCAGCACAAAAUGAUGUUGUAUUAUUAGGACCAAAAAAAAUUAUUUCAUUUCCAAGACACUGUUGGAGUCAACACCUAAUAUAAUAAUGAAAGUCCAUUAUGCAUAUGCAUGAAGUCUGGACGUGAGGCGGUGAAUAAGAAGAAACUCGUACGUGGGCAGCAAGCGUACACAUGAAGGAAUAGAUGGGCACAUAUUAAAAUAAUAGUAUAAUUGUUACUGGAGCCUUCAAGGAGCAAGAAGCAAAGUUCAACUUUGUUAGUACUUGGACGUGAAGGAAAAGAAGACAGCCCACAAUUUUUGACUGCCAAGAAGAAAAGCUCAACUUCAAUUCUGCACGUUGAAGAUAAUGGCGGUGAAGUGCUUAUAAAUAUAGGGUUACGUUAGUUUAUUUAGUGAGAGAGUGAGAUUUAAGAGAGAGUUAUAAGCUUAGCAAAGCUUGUGUGUGUCUUGUGUGUGUACUCCAUUAAGCCUUUACAAGGCAUAUUGUGUAAUAUAAUCUCUCUUUGUGUGUUUACACUCUCUCCCUCCAAAUCCUUUUGGUUCCAACAGACACAAUCAAUUUCCUUUCCCAAUUUCAUAGACGGCAAGAGAUUAAGGGAAAACCAGCUCUAAUCUUAGGUUCCCACGAAACAUUCGGACAGUUUGGCCGAGCAGCUUUCUUAACCGCCGACAUGAAGGCGACGGGCUUUUCUCUGAACGCCCUACAAAUCUAACUAUUUACCACCUUCGAAAUGCACGUCCUUUGCAAACCUUUGGUCGCUACACUUAAGACUUCCGAAGCUUUAGACCUAGACAGCUUCCACAUAAACAAGCCACUUCCAGGCACGCUGCUAGACCGAUGGAAAGCAACUUUCAAGCCACAAUUUUCGUAGCCUACAUGAUUCCCUGCAAUUAGCCAGGGACCCUUAAAAAGUACCGUCAUUGGCCAUUAAUUCCAAAAUGCACUCUCAGAAGCUCGGAAACUUCCAGGCAAAGAUGAUGUGAUUAAGCUGAGCUUUUUCUUUCAUCAUGCCAUAGAAAGCUGUCUUGAUCAACAUUGCCUGAACCACCUGUUCUAAAUUGAAUAAAGAUGUAGAGUUGAGCCUAGGAAUCAUCAUCAGCCAUGCACUGGUGUGGUCAAAAAGAAAUUGCAGGAGAAACCGACUGCUAAAUUCAUGAACUCAAAAUUGAACACACUAAGGGAGUAUGAUGUCAUGCACAUACCUACUAAGUUGUUAGACGACCAAUAAGCUUGAUGGAAAAGCAGGUACUCAUUCAAAACUAUCCUUAACAAAGUAUGGAAUGUGCCCAUCGAGCUUAGCUGACAUCCCUCUCAGAUACACAACAGCAUUAAUUAAAGAACCCCGCUUAAUACCCAUCGUUGGCCCCAUAUACUGAGCCAUAAGCUCCCCCAUGCGCAGUGAGUCCUGGGUUCGAUGCCGGAGAUGCAUAAACAGAACCGUGAGCUCCAUAAGAAUUAUAACCUUGGUCCAUGUGCCCAGCUGCUGGUGCCUGCGAUGGUGCUGCUGCUGCCUCCGCUAUAAAAUUCUGCAAAAUGGAUAUGUUUUUUGGCGUUAAAGUGCAGAAGCCUACAUCAAAUGGUCAUAAGGAAAUGCAACAACAUCGUCCAUCUCUCCUCAGUUGAACCACUAUAAUAACUGUCUACCAAAAGAUAGAAUGUACGUGACAGUAGAGGCACUUUCUCUAGGAGGCCUCUUCGGCAUUUUCAAAUCCAAAAUUUAAAGCAAUUGCAAGACUAACGUAACUAAGUUGAUUCCAAAUCUAUAGAGACAUUAAAACUAAGACCCUGAAAAAUAAGUUGGGUAAAAGAAUAGUUGACUACUUCAAGAAAUUUAUAAUGUUUCAAGAAUGGUUUCGAAGCCAUAGAAGGGAAAAAUCUUCUGAGCCGAAUCAAAUAUGAAAGCAAUCGAGUGAUGGAUUUAACAUUUGAGUCAACUUGGUCAAUCCAGUUUUCAAUCUUAAUAAAAGAUUUUAAUGAUAAAAAUUGGGAAUCAAAUUGGUUUUUCAUGGUGGAAACAAACCAAUUCAAUUAGUGGGUCUAUUCUGAACUCCCCAAAAAAGUUAAUAAGUUUGUUAGCUCUCGAGGAAGUUUUGCACUAAAAAAGAACAAAUUAUCAGUGUUACUUAACAUUUCAUCCUCACUGGUAGUCCGGUACAAGUUUCAACAGCACAUAUGAUAUUCUCCAAUAUUUCAUAUUCAAGGGAGAAGAUGAUUCGAGAUCAUCAUUGUUAAGAUAAAUUUCAAUUUUUUUUCUCAAGUUUCUCAAUCAUCUCGACAUAUUUAUUUUUCUUAAGUCAUCUCGAGACAAAAAACCAACCUGUCCCAUUUCCGUCUCUCUUUUUUUCCUUACUUUGUAAGAUUCCUUUUGGGAAAUGGCACUAUAUGCUUCUCUAGGUUAAAGCUUCCACCUAACUUUCAACUCUUUCGCUCGCUCACUCACAUCCCAAGACCAGAUCCAAUGUACCCUUCAAAAGCGCCCAUACUCUUACCCAGGUUCAUUCGCCCCCAACUCUUUCCUCAUUUUCCUCCCUUCCCAUCACUCCAUAAUGCUCCUCCUCCUCCGCCGUUGCCAUUUAUCGAUGCCACCGUCAACCUUCCGAGGCAUCCGAGGGGUUGGCUUCUGGCACGCGCGCACCUUAGCAGGAGUAGUGCAGGUGAUUAGCUCCCUCUGGACUUUACUUCGUCCAUUUCCACAUGAAGUUAAAAAAACCACACGCUAGCAAGCAUUAGAUGGUCCUUCUUAUAAAAAAAAUUCUUGGAUUAUGUUUGAGAUUUUUACUAGGUCCGUAUUUUUUCUAGAAAUUAUGUCCUUUAUCAGUGUAAAGAAAUUUCUACACAUUCCGCGUUGGAUAGGGCAACAUGUGUAACAAUGCACUUUGAUAUUUAUCCAUGUAUUUUCAUACAAAUAAGUGCUGCAGAAUCAAAGGAGAACCAAUAUUUGAACUCUCAAUAAGUAUGUUUUGGCAAGACAUUAUCAAACGUCCAAACUUAGGUUAACAUUUUUCAACACAUUUAUUAGCCACUUUCUAAAAGAAUACUUUACGACAUUUGUAGUAGCCACGCUGGAACAAUUUAUAGACAUACCAUGCUCAAAACGACCAGCCCAUCGCAUCGACUUCUUUAUUUUUUAGAAGGGCUUCUUCGCCCUUUUCUUUUUUCACAUGGCUCGGACAAAUUGAAUCUUUCCAAGAAAAAAAAAGACAAAUAUAACUCUAUGGAUGGGCUGAGGUACAAAAAANNNNNNNNNNNNNNNNNNNNNNNNNNNNNNNNNNNNNNNNNNNNNNNNNNNNNNNNNNNNNNNNNNNNNNNNNNNNNNNNNNNNNNNNNNNNNNNNNNNNGAAACAUAGACCGUCGAGAUCGACCGCAGAGGGAUGAGCACGCGCUCAAAGGAUCGGGGCGUGACAAUAAUUGUCCGAGCAAUUGCCUCUAUGCCCCGGCCAACUAAGAGUAAGUUAUUUUUGCAGCACAAUAGACAUCUUAUAUGGAAAGUAACACAUAUUUAAGUUAGAUAGUCGUAGUCUUUUAGAGUGUGAAUGUUGCGCGCACAUGGUACAUCUACAUGACCACAGAAAAUGCCGAGGGUGGUCAAACCAUCAUUAAUACGGGCUAAAAUUUUCCCCUUUUGUCACGGACAAGGGCCGGGGGGGAUGUUAUAUAGUCUGUAAAGAGUGGCCAAAUGCAGAGCUGUGUCCAUCCGGCUCAUUUAUAACAUCCUCAAGGUUGGGUGUCUGCAGUAUGUACUUGACUACAAUUUUCUCUGCCACCUAUAUAACUGCAGCAUGAAUUACCAUUUGUCCUUUGUCAUUGAUUGAUAUCGAGACACAAUCUAACCAUCUCGGCAAUGACACCGAUGUGGUUCAGAAUGCAGCAGUAUGAAGAGUGGACUCCCCAUCUUUGUCUGAGAAAUUUUCUGCAGAAACGUAGGAUGCCGGAAUAGUUUAACUGCUUCAGCACUGCCAUAGUAAGCAACGUAAUGAAGAGGAGUCCAAAUGUCAUCUCCUUCUCUAAUCAUCAGGGUUCUUUCAUGCGAUGGUUUCUUCGCGGCAACCUUCCCAAAUCUCAAUUAAAUGAGGGUUGCAAGGUAUAUUAAGACUGUUUCAGACUCGAGAUUGACUCUUAUGAUGUGUUGUUUCCUCACUUCUUUUUACUGCAAUCUUAAGGGCAAUGCAGCAGCAUAUAUGGCGUGGUUAUCUCGACGAUUUUUUUCUAUCAUCCAUCUUUGCCUCUCUUAGAUAAACUGGUGCAAUUAAUAGAUACGUAAAACUAAACGCCAGAAGUUUUUGGCAGAGGAUUCCUCUAGUAUUCAUCAAGGGAAUCAUGCGCUCUUUCAUUCCUGAAAUUGGAGGCUGAGGCUCUAAUUGGAUGUCACAAAGUAUCAGGUCAAAAAAAAAUUUGAUGGAAACAUCACUCAAUGAAGGUCUUUGCAUUGCACCUCUGUUACUUCUCACCUCUCAAGUUUUCUCCUUUCCAUUUCAAUGGGAUUGCUGAUGCAGUUCAGCCUGGAAGCAUCCUAGAGCCAAGAGGUUAUUCAAUUUUUUACUGCUUGUGCAUGGUUAAUCUAAUUGUUUGCUUUCUUGAAGUAACCACACACGCAGAGGAUUAGUAAGAUUGGGGUAGAAAUCGUCCGCGCGGUUGACAAAGAUACGUUAGCAGAUUUACUUCUAUCCUUCCUUCUAUUUCUAGUCAGAAAGAGACACAGGUUCCCAUAAGUAAGAGUCUCGGGAUACUUACAGCGGGACCAAUCACAGCAGGACCAAUCAUAGUCUGCUGCCGCCCGCAAAGCACUCAUUCUGUAACAUCCCGGGCCCCACUGUGUGAUAUUGUCCGCUUUGGACACUGAGUCCUCACGGCUUUAAAACGCGUCACACAAAUUAAGGGACCCAAGCCUUAUAAACAAGGCCCAGGACUCCCCCCUAAGCGAUGUGGGACAAGAGGGAGAGGAUCCCUUCCUUGCGCAUGUCCGGGGACCGAGGCGCGGACGCACCACCAUCCCUCCUCCUCGCGCACCGCCGCUCGGGCCGACACACUCUCCCCCCCUUAACAGAACAGCGUCCUCGCUGUGGCCCCACACGCUACCUUGAGAUAUAUGUACAAAGUCACCCUUCAUCUUUGCUUGGAAUGACUUUGGGAAGAAUUGAGCAUUGAACGCCUUUUUAAAGUCCUCCCAUGAUAUAAUAACAUCCCUACCUCUUCGGGACCCUUACAAGAGGACAACGACAGGGAUGCAUCUAACAUCAGCCUAGUAAUUUGAUGAGCCCAUUGUGGAGUCGCCACGUAUAGUGGGGAUUCAUCGGCAGCAUUAAAAAUGUUACACAGUUUAUGAUCUUCGAACCAGCAAUUUCUCUGGCUGCAUAGUGCAGUGCAGCGUCCUUGUCCGAAUUUGCCAUUCGAAGAAUCUCUUUGCAUGUAUCAACUUGUCCUUAUUCAAAAACCUAAUGCAGUCGAUUUGCAAACGUAAUGGAGAGUUGUUUCAAAGCAUCUUACUUCAGCAGCAACGUGUAGGGGAGUGUCUCUUCUGUAGUUGCUUUGCCAAAGAAGGAAUGGUCGUGAUGGACAUUGAAUGUAAGAUAUGAUUAUAAAAAGAGGAAGAAGUCGAACUCCAAUAAAAAUGCCCGCUGCUACCGUAGAAGCGGCACGUAUGAGAGCCAAAAUGGGAGUAGGGCCUUCCAUGGCACUAGGUUACCAUACAUGAAGGAGGCAUUGUCCUGAUUUCCCAACUGCACCUCCAAAUUAAAGAAAGGCACAUAAAGUAAGAAAUAAUAAGGAAACCUCAUUAUUAUAAAUCAAGUUAUUGAUAUUUGUAACAAAUCCCUUUUUACCGCAAAGAUGUUGCGCAAAUGGGAUUUGAUCAAAAAUUCUCACUACUUCUUAUAUUUAUGGACCCCACGCCCCUAUGGCGAAAUUGGUAGACACGUUGCUCUUGCAACGCAAAAGAGCAUCUACGAUCAACUUUACAUCUUGUAUUAAGCAGCAACACAGAGCGUUGUUCUACUUGGGCGUUGUUUCGUGGAAAGGGAAAAAGGGAGAAUGUAAACCCAAUGCACGUGCUGAAAGAGCAUGCCUGCACAAGUUCAACCUUAGGAGACUUUGGAGGUAAAUCACAAUAUUCGAAUAAAGAGUACUAACUUGUCUUCUAUAAUUGAUUAAUUAUUGAGUGUUACUAUUUUCAAAUUAUGAUUGCGGACCACACAGUCAAGCUAUGGUCCAUAAAGGUAAGUUAUCGGUUACAAGUGAAAACAAGUUCCCGCCAUUAAAUAUAUACUAUGACUUAAAGUUAAAUUACGGCACCUGUUUUGGAUCCAAAAUGCACCCUUUUCAUGUCCAGUCCAAUAUAAGAUAGAAAUAUUAUAGAUAACAUUUUAAGAGAAUUUCAAUUCAACUUUAUCUAAUAUUAGCAUGUAAUCUUGCAAGAUUCGAUGAUACUUUCAUUCUCGAAAAAAAAAUGCAAUUUUUUAUAGAACUAGAAACUCGUUCAUACUUCACACGUAAGCAACAGUCCCUUAGCAUAGGCACAUGAUGAUAUGCAUUACGAUAAUCAGAAAUUGAUUAAGUUAACAUUAGUUAUGUGUCAAGAUUUCAGUUUCCAAAUCCCUAUAGAUCUUUGUAUACCAUGAUUUCUGUUUUUGAUACUGUAUCGUUGUUUCCAUGUUCGACAACCUGUAUCCAGAUUGAGCAUAUAUCAUUGUGCUCAAGUCCUGCCUCCAAUUUGUUAUCUAUGUUCCAGGAAACCAAGAAAAGAUAACGAAACAAUUGGACAUGUCUUGGCCGCAACAACAUAGCGCCAAAUCACAUGUCUUGUUCAAUUGGAAUCGACAACUAGGCAGCUCUUUACUUUAAAUGACUCGAUCAGUAACCCAACCUUGUCUCAGAGCUCAAAAAUAACAAGAAUGGAACGAACAGCAUAAUUCUUCCUGGAGAUUGGUGGCGGGCCGAGUGCCAUAUGAACAAAUUCACGACAGCAACAGGAAUGAGCUUCUACUGAUGUUUAAAGCCUCAGCAUGAAAGAAACAAAAGAGCUCGUACUCUUGAAGAGCUACGGACUUUUUUGGUAAACCUUAGAUUGCUAACAAAAUUAAGGAUUAGCCAUCAAAAAACAGUUCCCCUCUUAAAGAAAGUGUAAUCACAACGUCUCAAUUCGGAAGUUGAUGCACAUAAUGAUAGACACGUAUGAAUAUUCCAAAGAGCAUAAAAGAAGACACAACACUGGUAGCUACUGGGUACAAUCGAAAAGAAUAUUCAAAGCCCGUUUGUAAUCCUUGGAAGCAACAGACUUGGAUCCCAUCACAUGAAGUACAAACAACAUAACAAAUAAAUUCACACAUUCCGUAGUAUUCCUUUAGCACUGACCGCUGCUAUUGAUUCCAGUGUUUCCACGACUUCACACAUGGAAGGCCGGGACUUUGGAUUAGGUCUAAUGCAUAUAAUAGCUAGCUGUGCUAUCCGGCGUACAGAGCCCACACUAUAUUCGUCCCGCAAUCUCGUGUCAACUAGAGCCAACGGUUUUCUUUUACUGGAUAAGUAUAAUCUGGUCCUCUCCACUAAAUCAACUCUAUCUGCUGGACUGCUCAGAUCAAAUGCCCUGCUACCUGUUAGUAUCUCAAGCAACACGAUGCCGAAACUAUAAACAUCACUCUUUAUGGUGGGAUGCCCUGUAAAAUCCGAGAGUCUUAUGUGAUGUUGCAGCAAAGCAUCAGGAAAUAACUUUCCCAUAUUAUUGUCAAAAUUCAAGACCGAGCAUCAGUCAGCACUAAGUCACCAAUAAGCACUUUAAAACGGAAAAAUUACCAGUUGUUCUGUAUUCAGGGGCAGCAUAGCCAUAGGUACCGAUAAACUGUGUUGAAACAUGUGAAUUGUCUUCUGGAGGACCAGACCUCACCAAUCCAAAGUCCGAGAGUUUGGCCGUGUAAGACUGCAGAAGAAGCGGACAGUGGAUUAGACUCGGUUUCUAGCCUAAAUAUCAAUUACAAACUUCAGUAAAUCUAGCAAAAAACAAAAUGGAGAUAUCUAAAAGCAACUGGGGACUAGUUAAGGGUCUUGUCUUGGGUUCUGAACUUAACAUCAAAUCUAAGAAGGAUAGAUUUGCAAUCGACUACAACCCCUCUAUCAGUUGAGCACAGGGAAACAUAGGAUCUCUGCUCGCUGUUAUGACUCUUUUCUCCUGGUUAGAGGACAAAAUAUCAAGUCUUCAAAUUGAGAUACUAGGCAUGUCAUCACCAUCAUCAUCCUUCUCCCAAAAAUUUGACUAGAAUGAUAAAAAAGUUCAUAUGAAUUUUGUGGUACAGGAACAUAAUCAUUAUAGGGAGGAUAAAAUAAUAACCUCAUCUAGCAUAAUAUUUGCACUUUUGAAAUCCCUGUGUAUCAUAUUACAGGAAUUGUGCAAGAAGGCCAAGCCUCUGGCAGCCCCAACCGCAAUCUUGAGGCGUACAUCCCAUGAAAGAUGAUCAGCAGACACCUCUGUACCAGAGUAAUGGACAAUGUAAAAUGUAAGUAAUUCUUAAAAGCAAAUAGGUGUUCAAACCAGCCUGAAUUUUGAAAAUAGCACAUGCAUCGACUAUGACUAUCAACUGAUCAAGUGGAUAUGCUAAACAAUUGGCAAACUUAAGGAGAAUUUCCGAAAUUUACAGAGUGAUUAGACCAUUUACUUCUGAAUAGCUGGUUUUCCAAACUGCCCAUCGGCAUGAACUCAUAAACAAGAGCUAAAUUUUCAUCGUCAUGACAAAAUCCCAGGAGCUUGGUAAGGUUAGGGUGAGAUAUCCUUCCAAUAUAAUGUAGCUUCCUCUGCACGAAAAAAAAAGCAAAAGAGUCCCACACAUGGUCAGUGGUAAAAGAUAUGAAAGAAAUGGAAGCCCCCACAGUAAACCAGGUAGAUGUUUUCCUCCUAAAGCUUCAAAUGGUCAAAGAAAUGAAACAAUCACAACGGAAUAGUGGAUAUCAAAACAGAAGGUACAGAAUGGGAACUGAGACAUAAUUUCCAAUGAAAUGUUCAGUUUAACUAGUAGUUUGACUGAAGACUCAUGGUCAUUGUGCAUCCUGUAAUAUAAAAGACAUAUCGAUAUUGGUAAAAUGUACUUCAAGUCAUACUAGCUUUGUAGAAAAUAUCUAGCUUGCCAUGAACUAACAGUAGCUAUGCAAAAUCAUUGGAAUUUGUGACUGAAACCAUUUAUAAUUUACAAUCAAACUGGUGACUUUAUCUUGCAGUGGUGUAUCCACCCUAUGUGGUUAGACAAGCCUCGCAAUUUGUUUCGGUUCUUGAAUAUAGAAAGAGAAUUCGCUCGAAGGAAGAAGAAAACAAGUUCACUAUGAAAAGAACUGCAUUGCAUUAGUCAAAGAAGGUUGGAAAGACGAGUUACCUAAGGGCUAUGAUCACAUCGAAAAGGUUGAUCAUUACAAGGAUGGAAGACUGCGAACUUAUAUUUGUUCAAUUGCUUCAUUCCUUGCAAUCAAUUACAAUAGGUAGGUUCCUCCAAUAGUUAGCAUCAUACAAGCCAAUGGCCACACACACUCCAUGACAUGGGUUUACUAAGUCAAUUACAUAAUAGAAGAAAUGCAAAAAAGAAAGUUCAUUACCGCUAACGAAAUGGAGCCCUAAAAUCUAUUUUGCUGAGGACCUUAGUGACCAAAUAAUCUCAAGAACAGAAUCGCUUCUCGGAUUCUUUUACUUCGUUUAAAUUCAAAUAAUGCACAUUGUAUACACUAAAGUGGGGGUUUAGAUAACUGAAAACUUCAUGAGGAUUGCGAACAUAUGUUUAGGUAAUAUCACCAACCAAUUAACACUACUCAGUCAGGCACCAACAAUAGUGUUGUCUGCUGCGUUGCACCCCAGCAAAGCUGAUGAGGCCAUCAAUGAACUCUCAGAAUAAUCUGAUCUCUCUAUAACCAAAAUCAGAUGCAAUCCACAAGGGUCCUUUCAGAAACAAAAUUAAAAGGCGAGGCCACCACUUAUAGAAAUCUUGGGAUAAUCAACUUCAAAUACAUUUGGAUUUGCGUUUACAUAGCCAUCAUAAUUCAGGUUGUCCAGUAUUUCUCCUGCUAUUUUCAC
This 75415-nucleotide long non-coding RNA is filed under the name Eucalyptus grandis. RNAcentral describes it as "long non-coding RNA (EGRA_LNC005251)". The record is from RNAcentral. Lineage: Eukaryota; Viridiplantae; Streptophyta; Magnoliopsida; Myrtales; Myrtaceae.